AUAGUAACAUUAUUUAAUUUUAAAUUACACGCAUAUAGUUCAUGCCUAAUAUGACUGGUAAUUUACAAAAUAUAAGAGAGAAGAAUAAAAAUGAGCAAAAAAGGUUAUAAUCUCAGAAGAAGGUUCGUACUCUUUAAAAACUUGGAAUUGAAAUUCCAUAAAAAGUUGUGAGGGGGGUGGAAAUGACGAAAUCAGCCUUCAGCCAGUGAGAGUUGCUUGUAAUAUAAAAUGGAUAGGUUGGGGCAAAAGCAAAGCAAACAGGGUUUGCUCUUGAAUGAGGCGCAGAGAGAUGGGAAGUUUCGAAGGGUGGUUGCCCCUCUCUAGCCGAUGAUUUCCACAGAAAAUCAACAGCCCUUAAGCUGCCUUCUGUCGAUCUUCAUGCUAACCACUCCCGAUCAGAUUAGAGGGUGCACAUAUCAUAUAUAUAUAUAUAUAUAUAGAGAGAGAGAGAGAGAGAGAGAUGAAAUUGAUGGUUCUUUGAUAGACAUAUGGAUAGAUAGAUAUACCCAGUUUAACUGGUGGCUUGUUGUUGUUGUUGGAUCUGUCGAUGGUCUUGAUAUUGGAACGGAGGGAGUAUUAUUAUUAUUCAUUACUACGAGAGGCUGUGAUGAUAUUUUUCUAUUCUAUCAGAGCAAACCCAAUCGGGCAUGGUGAAUCUGAUCCGUAUCUUGGCUGGGCAACCCAGAUGAGCAUGUGAUUUGAUUCCAUCCAUGGAUCUUUCUCACGUCCAACUGGAAGUUGCAGCCAUGGCGGAAUCACAUCCCAUGUCUGAUCAUUCACAGAUCUGAGCCUCGCACACUAUUCUUUAUUUCUUGCUUAAAAUUUUUGUAUAUUUUUUGUUAUAGGUUUGUUGAUGCAUUUUUGAUUAUAUUAUAUAUUUGUAUUAUGCCAUUUAUUUAUUCAUUUUCUAAUAAAAAAUAUGUUUUUAUAUGUAGACUAUAAAUUCACAUAAAAUUAUUAAUAAGCCACAAUUUAAAGAAUUUUUUACAUAUUGAAAUAUCAUUUUUUAAUGCUUUUUAUAUCUGGGUAGAAUAAAAUUAAGAAAUUUAUAUUUGUACAUAAUUUUUUGAUAUUUUUAUACGAAUAUUGUUGUCAAAAAUUUUGUACCGUUACAUUAUGCAGAUAUUUUUUAUAUAAAAAUAUUAAAAAAUUAUGUAAAAAUAUUAAAAUUUUAAAAUUAAUUAGUUCGAUGACACACGUGCGGUUUAAAAGAAGCAUAUCUAACCAUUAGACUAUUUGAUGAAUUAUAUUUAGUUCAUAUGAUAUUAAUAAAUGUCAUUUAGUCUUUUAUUUUUUUAGCAGAUGAACUAUCUUGUGGACUAUAUUAUAAAAAAAAUUAAAAUAAUCUAUGAAUUUAAAAAAACUUCAAUUUCUUUUCACUCUUCCAUUUAAAUAUAAUUACAGAUUAUAUUUAGUCUAUCUGUUGGAGCUGGGAGGAUAAAAAAGAACUCUUUUAUGUAAAAAUGAUAAUUAGAUUCAAGUGUUUUAUAAGUUAAUUUAUUCAUAUUUAAAUUUUAUUGGGAUAAAUAGAUAAAUUAUAAAAUAUUUAUGUUUAAUUAAUUAUUAAUAAAGUUUUUUGAUAAAAAAUAUUAAGAUAAUGAAAUUAUUAGUUUUUUACGUAUAUUAAAGUGAGAGGUAAAGAGAUUAAGCUAGGAAUUAUAAGAGAGUUUUAUUAAUUAUAUAUAUUUUUAAAAAAAUUAUGAUUAAUAAUUAUUCAAUUAAUUGACAACGUAGACAUAAUAUUUACAAUGUAUAUAUUUUCCUUCUGCAAUGAUUUUUUUAUACUUCUUUUUGUCUUGGUCUAUUAUUCGGGUAAAGUCAAAAUUUUAACUAUUUUUUGUCUCUUCAAGAAAGACGAUGAACAAAGUUUUUUUUUUUAUAAUAAAAAUAGGCUUCCAUUAUAUUUUAAUCUUUACUAUCUUAAUUUUAUUUUUUUGAUUCUUCUUUUCACCGUCACCACCUAUAAGACAUAUUAUAUAGUAUUAGUUAUCAAAUAAUUUAUUUAUAUUUAAACUCAGCUUUAAAAAGAGGCUCUAUUUUAUAAAGAGUUUUUAUUUUAAUAAGUUUUUAUUAUAAAAUUUAAUCAAAUACUAUCUAGAGCCGGACUAUUUACCCUCCUUUUAUAAUAUAGAUAUAAAAAAUGAUAUAUAUUAUAAUUUUAUAUGUUGAUUAUUAAUUUUAUUUUGUUAGAUAAAAUCUAUGUAGUAAAAAUAAUGUUUAGGUGGUUGUCAGUUUCAUUAAUUAUAUCUAAGAAAAGUUGUUUCAUUAUAUCUUAUACUAGCAACAGUUCCGUGUCUUCGGUACUAUGGCCCAUAUAAUUUAUUAGGAUGAACGGAAAAUUUAAAAUUAUUUGUAUUUUAUUAAAUAGAAUUCAAUGUUUGAGACAAAAAAAAUUUAAUAUUACUCUUAUUAUAUUACCCUAAUAUGAGAUUACUUAAGAUAAAUCACUUUAACGAUAUUAUUGGUUUUUUGAAAUACUAUUAUACAAGUAUGUGAUCAUUUUUUUAACAAAUCUGAUCAACUUUAUAUAAGGAGGUAUUUGAUAAAAAUUGAAUGAAUCUGAAUAAAAAAAAUUAUUUAAUAAUUUACAUGUUUGAAACAUAUAAAUAACAAAAUUUUAUUAUUUUAUCCCUCUGAAAAUUUGUAACAUUGUUGUAAAUUUAUUUAAUUAUUUAAUAUAAUAAUUAAUAUUUUUUUAAUUUUUUAAUUCUUUUUUACUUCAUUCAACUGUUUAUUCAGUCAUUUAACUAGUAUAGUAAAACAGGGUUAAAACGGGGAAAGCAAGAAGCAAACACUAGGGCAAGCAAGUUAUAGUAUAUAGAGAGACAAGAAAGGGCCUUUUUAAAAUCAAUCUCAUUAGUUUAAGUAUGAGGCUGAAAUUGGGGGCAGAGAGAAGGGAUGUUUCUAAGGGUGGUUACCCCUCUGUGUCAUUACUCCAUUAAAGCCGAUGAUCUACCUCUCGUGCCUGUAUUAAAUCAACAACCCUUUUCCCUCCUCCUCAUCCCCCCUCCUUCUCCUCUUCCCUGCUGGAGCUCAACUUUCAGUUGUUCUCUCCCUUUAAACUUGUAACUGUGUGAAUGAGGCUGUGAUGAUGUCUUAUAAAGAAAGGCAGACCAGGUCCGAAUCAAUCGUAGCUUGGCAACAAAUCUGAUGGUCUGAUGUGAGAGAAAUGGAGAGAAAUAUAUGGAGUUUCCAACUCCUCUUUUCCUCUUUUUUUUUUCUCUCUCAUACAUGGCAACUGUUGUUGCAGCCGGUUUGAUCUUUGUCUGAUUAAAGGCGAAUCUGAGCCCCCUUGAAAAUUGAAAUUGGAUUUUUUUUGGUUUUACAACGUUGUGAAAUUGUGCCAAGUAUUCUAUAAACCCUGGACCCCUGGUAUUGAGAUUUCAAUUUUCUCACUUAUGUAUGGAAAAACGUAGGGUUAGGGUUGGAUAGAGACUGAAUUUUAUCCCAUUUUUAAUGAAAAAGUGAGAUUUAAUUUGUUUUCUCUUAAAUAAUUAGGAAAGUGCACUAUUAACGAGGGUUUUUUUUUUGUGGGGAAAAUUCUGGCUCAAAAUUUGUUAAAAGUUGGUCGAAUCAAGUCUCUGUAUCUCCAUAGCUAAUUAGUUUCUGACCAAAAUGUUUGUAGCAAUUCUACUAUAUAUAUUGAUAAAAGAUGGUGAUAAAAGGUCUAUAUUCGAAAUGAAUUAUAGUACUUGUAUACAUUAAAUGUUUUGGGAAUAGAAAGAUCUACGAGACAUCCAAUAACAAUGCUGAAAGAAACAUGGUGGGAAAGAAAGGGGGAGGCUUCAGAAGAAAGAAAAUAAACAAAAGAAGAGGGUGACAAGUAUAGAGGUGAUGUCCGAAUCACCAACAUUCUUUAUUGCACUUGAUUUUAUCUUGUCAUCUGAUGAAGAAGAAUGUGCUUCAGCAGGUGCGGGUGCGGUGGCGUUGCUGCUGCCAAGCUUGGACACAGGAGGUAGUGGUGGAUCAACGAUCUCUGCAAUACUAAGGGGUUUGGCAGGAGGUAAAGGGGGCGGCAGUGUGGCCGGAUCAAUUGUGGUAGCCAUACUCCCCACCAUAGCUGUCGAUAUUGUAUAUGCUUGGGGAUUGGAUUCAUUAAAAUAAGAACAUGGAUUCCCUGCACAACCAAAUGAUAUGAAUUUCAUUCAGCAUCUUAACCAAGCAACUCUUGCUUGGGAUAAUUUUCAAAUGUGCAGCAUGGUAAUGCAAUGUAACAAAGACAUAAACCGAGUAUAAUUUGGUGGUACUUACUUAGGAAUGAGCUUGCUGUUGCUGGGUAAUCGGUUACGAAGCCAUCAAUCUUCAUGUCAACGAGAGUAGCUAGCUCUACAUUAGGAUCUGCGAAGUAAUCCAAACUGAGGAAGAUGAAUUCAUUCCUGAUAGGGUAGGCAUAUACGGAGAUAUUUGCAGCAUGCAAUUCCUCAAUAACUUUGGUGGUGUUGGUGGUAAAGUAGGCUGAAUUUUGUUGAAUGAAUGAACUUUUCUCGAGAACAACUACAUCAGCAUAUUUCUUCACUUCUGCCAGCACUUCCUUAGGUGCAUUACUUAUUGGCAAUCUAACAAAUAAUACUCUUUCGUAAGUUGGGAUAUUUUUCUUGAAUUCGGAUAGUACCGAGCUAUCGUCGGACUGAAUCAUAACCCUUUGAGUAGAUUGCUUGUCGAAGCUGGCGUUGGCCAACGCAGUGGUGACAACAUCAACUAAACUAAAACCCUUUUGCGAUGCUAGAUAGGCAGCAUUCUGGGAAUAAAAUUAAAAAUAAAUAGAAACGUCAGCAAUUUAACUAGUCUAUUUUUUUGUUCUUUCUCUCUCUCUUUCAUAAGAGUGAGCUUAUUUCAUAGACACCGGACUCUUUUAGUUUUAGGAUAAAUGAAGAGCUGAUGUAACACAGACUCCGACUCCAGCUAGCUACUAUAGAUAGAUAUAGAAGUAGUAGUAAUUCUUAAAGAAAGAUGGGAAAGCUCACUUGUAUAUUAAUCAAAACUCCUACAACUUUCUUCGUCUUUGCAAGUUCUAAGAAAUCGGCCAAAGUCAUAAACUUGCCCAUGUUUUUGUGUCCUGGGUUUCUAUAGAUGUUGUAUUCCUUCAAAGGAGUUUCAAUUGUAGCUGCAAUGGGAUAAAGGUUUUUUGUCAGACAAGAUAUAUAGCUAGGGGGUNNNNNNNNNNNNNNNNNNNNNNNNNNNNNNNNNNNNNNNNNNNNNNNNNNNNNNNNNNNNNNNNNNNNNNNNNNNNNNNNNNNNNNNNNNNNNNNNNNNNAUUUACUCACGCUUGAGGGAUAGAAUUUCGUUCCAAGUGAGAUCAAAUGAGAAAACUCCACUUUGUGGUCUAAUUUCAGGGAUAAUAACAGAUCGGUCCAUAAAAGCUGCGAGUACAGUAGUAUAUGCAGAGAGAUCGACAUCACCCAUGCAGAAGGCAACUCCAUCUUUUGACAUUUGGACAUUGCAAUCGAUUAUAUCCGCACCGUCGUCAAUGGCUUUCUGGUAGGCAAGGUCUGUGCAACCAGGGUAGUCUCCACUAGCUCCAUUGUGAGUUAUGAUCAAACCUAUAAAUUAAUUAGGCAAAGUAAUAUGUGUUGUACUUGUAUACUGCCUACUAUCACUAGCAAGUGAAUAUUAAAACUGCUCUGAUAAAUUUUACAUAGACAGCUUUUACCCUAUAAUAUAUAUAACAUAAUAAUUUGUACGCACGCGCAGUCGGUCCUGAUCUCACCUGUCUGAGCUCUAGUUGUAAUGUUCUGGCUCUGAGCAAAGCAUACUGCACCAAUUAAGAAGAGGAGUUUAGAAGUUGGUUAGGUUUGUAAACAUGCAAGAAUUACAAAAUGAGUUUGUUUAUUGGUCUGUCCGUCCGCAUACCGAUGGAAUCUGAUGCAGUGGAAGGGAAAUCCGAAAGCACACCAUCAACAGAAAAAUGAUUGUUGUCGAUAAAUUGGAGGUACUCAUUAACUGGAUUAAAACUGUAAUUGUAAAUAAAGUUAUCAUUUGCAAAAUCAGAAGCAUAUACUUGAAGACCUAUUUUGUGUGCAUCAACUACAAGUGUAGUUGGUGGUUCCGAAAACUUAUCCUUCACCGGAACUAUGUAGGUUUUAGGGACAAGAAUAGCUGAUGCAAAUGGCUUGAUAGCUGCAAGAUUGUCCAGUAUUGAACCAUAUUUUUGCAUGGUUGUGGGCUCAACCUCGUCUUUCCCCAAUAUCUUCAAGAUGAGCUUUGUGCGGGUUUUGUCCACUUUCCCACUCAUAUACUUCAAGAAACCUAUUUCUGGCGACGAGAUGUGGGUUGGCACCCAAAACGUGGAGGAUUCCGAUAUGUAUUCUGCCACACUCAGAUUGUGCUGGUUGUAGAACAUAUCAUACUGCAUUAUAUCAAGCAAUCAAUUAAUUUAACCAAAUUACAUAAGAGUCCGACCAAAGUUGUGUCGAAUACGUGAGGUUGGUUGGAUAUGAUUAUAAGGGUUAAAAAGUUAUGUUUAUUCUAGUACAUAUAUAAAUUAUAUAUCAUCAGACAGACAUACAUACCUCAACAUUUAGCCAUAUAUUUUUAGUUAUCUCUCCGAGGUAGUCAGGAGACGAGAUUGAAAAAGCAUCAUCGAACGAGUUUGUUCGAGUUAAUACGCUUUGUACAUCUGCGGGGGAUCAUCAAACCGAAUUAUUUUUAAAGAAAACAAAAAUAUAUAAUUAAUUAAUGGUGUUCAAUAUAUAUGCAUGCAUGAGGUAGUGUUAAUUAGAUCUUACAAGUUAUAGGAUCUUGGAGAUCAUCCAAGUUAUAGUCCAGAGCAAACCAGCCAUGAAGAUCCCGGCCAUUGACGUUGUAAGUCUUGUCUCCCUUUGGGAAGGCACGCGCUAUUGUUGUUGAUUUGUCAAUGAGGAUUUGUGAUGCGCAAAUUCCCAUAUUGUCCUUUGUAAGAUGAAGAUUGCAGUACAUAAUUGCACCCGGACGACUUGUCUGCAUAGCCAAAACAUAUCCAUAAGCACUCGACUCUGGAGCUACCCCAGAGUAUCCACCCCGUGCUACAACCUCCGGUGGACCUCCUGCAUAUAUAUCCGCAUGCAUUCGCUCAAUCAAAAUUAAUAAUAAAUACAUUAAUUAAUUAAGUUAACCCCCACAUGACCAACAGUACCCACCCACCAUUCAAAGUUAAAAAUUUCUUGUUGGACACUACCACCGGGCCUUCUGUUUGGGGUUUUCCUCCUCCUUUAGGACGUUCAUGCGGGGGUUUUGGUGUCGGCUCAUGAUCUUUUCCGCCUUUAGAAUCAUCGUUUGGGACUACUUUCUCUACUACACUACUACUACUACUACUUGAAUCCACCGCCAACAACAAUAAAACAAAAAACAAUUGCCGGAACAUUUUUUAAUUCAUGCACCUGUACCUGUACCUGUACCUGUAUGUAUUAUCAUAAAUAAAUAAAUAAAUCUACAAAAUUAAACUUGUUCAAAUAAAACCAAAAGAAGAACUAAUUAACUUGAUGAAUUAAUUAAUAUUGAUUGACUGGACUCCACAGAUUAGACAACAUUCCCCGUCGAGUUUCAAGGAGGGAGAAACUCAAAAGGGAAUGUAUUAUUAUGCAAAUGAAUGAAUUGGAAGGAGGUGAGAAGAGAGAUGGAGAGAAGAGAGAUUUGAUAGGAUUUAAUGAGUUUUGCUCCCACACAUUAUUCGCAUAAAUUGCUGGUCAUGCAUUAAUAUUGACCCCUUAUUAAUAUAGCAAAUUAAAGCUUAGCUGGAUAUUGUUUGGCGGCAGGCAGCCACUUCAAACUCUUGCGGUUUCAACAAUACGUACUAUCAUAAUACUAACCAACUAUUUUCAUCCAUUCUUAAUUUAGAUUUCGAAGGGUAUCUUAUAUUUUUGAAGAAUAUAUUUGUCAUUCAAUUAAAAAUACAAAAAUGUUACUCUUUCCGACCUGACCACUUUAAAAACUAAGAUAAAGUAAAUAAAGUAAAAUGUAACUAUGUCACUUAAUAAGGUCCAUUAAUAUAAAUAAAAUAAAAUUACUCAUCAUAAUUUUGUGAAACCACUAAGAAAAAAUUUAACACUUUAUUUAUUCUCUCUUUUUUUCUCCUUAAUAUGUAUAAAAUUUGUACUUUGUUCAUACUUAAGGACAGAGGGAGUAAAUAAGAUUAUAGGUAUCAUCCUAUGAAAAGGAUUAGUCAAAAAAAAAUUAUACCAACUAUAUAUGUCACUAAGAAGAAACUAGAAAGCCAAGGUUAACAAAAAAUCCUAAGAUUCUUCUUUUGGGAAUCUUUUUAACCAAACAUUUUAAUGAUUGAAAAUAUUAUUUUAAAAAUCUAAAUAUUAAAUUUCAUGUUAUCUUACUUAAAUUGAUAGCAUCAUAUAUAUAUAUAUAUAUGGACAAUGAUUCAUAAUAUCUAUUUGGUAUGGAUAAAAAAUGAGCAUAACAAUUAUUACCUCCGUCCCACAAUAAGUGCUUUUUUAGAAUUAAUAUUUUUUCUCAAAAUAAGUGAUGUGUUAGAACUCCAAUACAAUUUUUGCAAUAUUUUCUCAUAUAUACCCUUAUGCAUUCAAUUGUAUUUAUUGCAUCUUACUAUCACUACAAUUAAAUGACACUCAUUAACUCUUCAACUUCAAAGAAAAUAUAUCAAGGGUAUUUUUGCCAUUUUAGCUUGUGUAUUGGUAUGUGUGAUUUAAGUUAAAAAAAUACUUAUUAUGGGACGGAGGUAGUAUUAAAGAUGAAAUCGCUUAAUCGUCAUCCUAUUACGCCUGUGUUAUAUGUCCGCUAGGUGUUCUAGCGGAUGCAAGGGACAUAAGACAAUACAACAAAGUCACAUAAGUUAACCCAGACCAAAUCAGUACAGGAACAGCAUGUCAGCAACAACACAUAAAAAUUCACAAGACAUGAAGGUAACCCAGUCCGAAUCCAUAGCACAACAACAUCACAUCAAACAUUGCACAUCAAACAUUCCAAAUCCAAUUCUAUAGCACAUCAAACAUUCCAAAUCCAAAUCACAACAACAAGAAACAUCAAAUUCCAAAUCCAAUACAUCCUAUUCCAAAUCAGCAACAUGCCAGCAGAAAAUCAAACAUUCCAAAUCAUUUGCACACACUCUGCGGCUCCCUGCAUCAUUUGCACCAUAUAUUGGAUGUACUUUUCGAAGUGUUCUCCAUUUGCAAGAGUAAUAUCCCCAAAGGAUGAGAAUGUAGGAGGUUUGACAGAACGGUGUAGUUCACCACUAGAGAGAUCCUUGAGGAGAAGAGUCAUGAUCCCAUCACAGUAUGGCAAGAUCUUGCCAUCUAAAGCACGACAAAUACCGCCAACCACCCCAACUGCGAUCGCACAGACCAGUUGCUCAAAAUUUUGAAGACCCACAGUAAGCAUUGCUUCUUCAUGUACUCUUGUUUUUCCCUAUCAUCUGAUGAUCCAAUUUGGAGCUCAGCUGACUUGGCCUUAGUGGGGUAAAAUCAGUGGCGGAACCAGAACCUUUUUGUAGGGGAGUCAAAAAUUUUAAACCAAGCGGCGACGGGCGGGCGGCGGCGGUAGGCGGCAGCGGCAGGAGUUGAUUGAACUAUAAUUAGAGUUUCUGCAGAAGCUCUAAAGAGUUAGAAAUACAGAGGAGGAGAAUCCGAAAAAUUUGAUGGAAGAAUUCGUAACUGUAGAGAGGCUAGAGCGAAAACUGGUUGAGUUGGAAUUAUUGCAAUAGCAGCUGUAGUUAAUGUUUUAGGCAAUUAUCAACAGCCUGCUGCCCCCCUGCCCCGGCCCCCUCCUAGUUCCGCCCACCGCCUGACCGGCGACUGCCUCCCUACCGCGUCCGGCGUCCGGGGGCAACUGCCCCCACCCGCCCCCUGGUUCCGCUAGUGGGUAAAAUCGACCCAUAAAAAUUUUAUAUCCGUCCGCUAGAAUUACUAGCGGAUGACAAAAUAUUUGCUCAUUUUUGAUUCAUAGCAAGUCGAUGGUAUGGAUCAUUGUCAUAUAUAUAUAUAUAUAUAGAUAGAUAGAGAGAGAGCAAGGAUCAAGUGCAUACUCCUUAUCUUACUCACCCGUGCUCACCCCCCUUUAGGCGACGAUUUUGGUCAUACAACCGUCGCCUAUACUUUUAGCGACGCUAUAUGUUGUCGGUCGCUAAAAGUAUAGGCGACUGUUGUAUGACCGAAACCGUCGCCUAAGGGGGGUGAGCAUGGGUGAGUAAGAUAAGGGGUAUGCAUUUGAUCCGGACCGAUAUAUAUAUAUAUAUAUAUANNNNNNNNNNNNNNNNNNNNNNNNNNNNNNNNNNNNNNNNNNNNNNNNNNNNNNNNNNNNNNNNNNNNNNNNNNNNNNNNNNNNNNNNNNNNNNNNNNNNGCUUACCCCCAUUUAGCGACGGACCGGGCUACAAUUCGGUCCUUCGCUAUAUAUAAAAUUAUCGUCUUAACUUUUAGCGACGGACAACAUAUAGCGACGGAUAACAUAUAGUGACGAACCGAACAUAUAGCGACGGAUCAAAUUAUCGUCCGGUCAGUCGCUAAAGGAAAGUGAACAAGAUGAACUAGAUAAGGGAUAAACUUAAGAUCCGGACCGUAUAUAUAUGACACUAUGGGACAUAUAGGGUAGCUUUUAUUGAUAUUUACAGUCAGUUUUUGUAAAAUUUAAAAAUAGUACUCUUUUUUGUGAGGUAAAGAAAUUAAAGUAAUUUAUUACUAGCUAUUAAUAACAAAUAAUCAUGACAUGCACCGUAAGCAAAGGUACGUUUGAUUCCAUAUUAUGAAUAAAGACUUAAAAGCAUAACCACAAAUCUAAUCUUCCAUAAACAAUUAUUAGUUUAUGCGCGUGUAUAAAUAUUUUAAUUUUCAAGUUCAACACAAUUUUUUGAAUGAAAUUGAUAAUUUUACAUGAAAAUCGUUUCUAUGAAAUUGAUAAUUUUACAUGAAAAUCGUUUCUAUAAAACUCAUAACUAAUGUUUUUAUUGUCACUAUACAUCUACAUCGACACUUUUCAUGUGAAAAUAUCAAUUUACUUUUUUGAAUUAAUCUACCAUAAUAUGUAGGAAAUUAUUAAAUUCACAAUAUUUUUUGUUAUUUUCACAACAAAUGUAUCGUUGUAGAUGUAUAGUGACGGUGAAAAUCGUCACUAUAUGAUCUAAAGCGACACUUUUAUUAUAAAAAUAAUAAUUUUUAUUAUAAAAUUAACAAUUUCUUAAUAUGUAGUGUAGUAGGUCUAGAGCUAGCCGUUGCAAUAAUGAAACUUUACUACUAUUUUACUACUUUAUCUAUUAUGAUCCAUACCUCAUCUAUUACAAAAACUCUACUUGGGCGAUAUAAAAAUUAAACAUGAAUAUAUUUGAAUUUUAUUUAUUUAUAUUUUAACACAAGACAAAAAUAUAAAUAAUUUAAAUUCAAAUAUACUUGUGUCUAAUUUUUCCUAUCCGCAUAAAAAAGCUCUAUCUAUUAUCUACAAUAUUAGCCUAGCCGAGGGAGGCCAUGGCCCCAUCUAGCAUUUCUAAAAUUUCACUAUAACUCUGGAGCUCUUUUAAGUGGAUAUUAAAAUUAGACAUGAAAAUUGAACAUGAAUUUAUUUGAACUUCACUUAUUUAUAUUUUUACUCAUCAUUGGAGGUCAAAAUACAAUUAAAUAAAAUUCAAAUAUAUUCAUGUCCACAUAGAAUUUUUGAUAACUCUAAAAAUUGAAUUUAAAAACCUUACCAUAUUUCUUUUGUAAUCUUUUAUGUAAAAUAUUCAACAACUAAAAAACAUAUCUAUACACUUAAUAAAGUGGUGAACCCAUUCCAAAAUAUAAUACUUUACCAAUAUCGGUAAUAAUUAACUAAAUUUUUAGUUGUUUUUCAUUUACAAAGAAAUGAAUUAUUUUACUUUUAUAAGUUAAUUGAAUUUAUUGCUUUCAUAAUUAAUUAUUUAUUAGUAACUAUAUGGGAUAGACUCAAUAAUUUUGUACAUGAGAAAGAAUAACUUAGAUUUUCAAUAUGUUCAAUUAAAUAUAAAUUUAUGUAUCUAAGAAAAUUUUGUUUUGAGUGUCGUUUUAAUUGAGAGAUUAAUUUCACUAGAACAUUUCACGCAUAAUAUAUAUAUAUACACUGCAGAAAUGAUCAAGUAAGGGAUUCCUUAUUUUUUUAAAAUGAGGGACUUUUUUUUUUGUUUUUUUUUUAAAACAACUAAAAAAAAAGUUUAAUAUUUUAUGGAACUGAAAUUUUUCCAUAAUACAAUGUUUUAGACGUGUUUUGAAUACCUAUACCAAAAAGUGGUGGUACAGUCUGCCCAGACUGUACAUACAUUUUUUGUUAUACGUACUCAAAUCACACCCAAAAUAUUGUAUUAUGAAAAAAUUUCAGUUCUAUAAAAUAUUAAACUUUUUUUUUUAGUUGUUUUAAAAAAAAAGCAAAAAAAAAGUAAAAAAAAAAAAGUCCCUCAUUUUAAGAAAGUAAGGGAUCCCUUACCUGAUCCUGACCCAUAUAUAUUGUACUUUCACAAACAUAUAGUUAUUAUAUUAAAUAUUAAUAUUACAAUUUUUCAUAAUUAUUUUGGCUCCUCCCGAUUUGAAUUCCUAGAUCGGAGUAAUAUAAUUUAUGCCAUGUUCAUAAUUGUAUCAAUUUUUUUGUAUUCUGUGUUUUAUUAUUCCAAAAGUGUUUAUAUAUAUAUAUAUAUAUAUAUAUAUAUAUAUAUAUAUGUAUUAGAAAAUAUAUACAAUAAUAUUCAAUAUAAAUUAAUACAACUCUUUAAUUAUAAUAAUAUUAUUAUAAUUAUAAUACAUACUAUACUUAUUUAUAAUAAUAUCAAAGGGGGUUGUCAAUAUGUUUAUAUUAGAGCAUCUCUAAUGUCUUUUCAACUAUUUUAGAAUACUUUAAUAGGUAAACUACAUCAGAAAAAUAAUAUUCAACAGUCUUUUCAAUUUUAGUCAUUAAAUCUGCAACCUCCUUCAUUAUUAAGGUUAAAAAUAUUUAUUACUUUUGAUGAAUUUGAUAUAAAAUUCAUUGAAUUGAAAAGACUGAUUAAACACGAAAUAUAAAAAUAAUAAAUAAUAUUUUUUAAAUUAUGAUAUAGUUCAACAAACUUUGAAGAUUUUUUUACUUGUACUCUUGAAUAUGCUCUUACUUUUUAUAGUUUUCAUUCCACGAGUGGACCCCAACCCUACGCAUGGUCCACAGUUUCUAUAGUUCAAAUUAGUCCUUCAGUCCUUGUCAUACAAUUAUACAAAGACAUACUCCCUCCCUUACUUAAUACAUGUGAUUUUAGAGUCACGUACAAAUAUUAAAAAAAAUAAUUAUAUAAUAUUAAAUGUUUAUAUUAAAAAAAGUGAGUGUUAUUUAGUGAAUAAAAAAUAAUGAAAAAAUUAAAAUUAUAUUUAAUAUUUGGAAUAAUAUUAGAAAUUAAUCAAUUAAUAUUUAAUUAAAAUUCUUAAACGACUUAUAUUAAGUGACAAAAAUACUUCUCUAAAACGACUUAUAUUAAUGAACGGAUGAAGUAUUUAUAUACAGACCACAUAAUUUUUCUAAAUAACUCCAUUAAUCUCCUUCUCGAUCGAGAUGGUAUGAUCAAUCCAAAGAAAUUAAUACAACUGAAAAAUACAUAAAUAUAAAAUAAUUUAAUUAAGAAACAACGUACUCUUAAACAUGUACAUGUAGUAUUAACUCACUUAUUUGUACACAUAACGUAAUUAAGAAAUUAAUAAAAACCAUGGAAUUCUUGCGGUGAAAAAAAACACUUAAAUGAUUAAAAAGAAAAACCAAGUUGAACCCAUAUAUAUUUCUAGUUAAUUAUAUAUGCAAAAUAAUUAACUCAAUAAUUAAGUAAUUAAUGACGUAUAUAAUUUAUUGAUUAUAUAUCUAGCUAGCUAGUUGCGAGGGCGGGUAUUCUCCGGUCCGGCAACCCCGGUGACCACCUUAGCCACGUCCAAUGCGGUAGCUUCGGGCUUCUUGUGGGAGUACAGGGUAAUGUAGCCAAUGCCCACAGCAACGGCAAACCCACCGAUAGCCAUUGUUGGACGAAAAUGCACUUUGCUCCUCUGUUGAAGAACUCCGGCUGCGUGGGCUCCGGCAUUUUGAAGUUUUGGCCUUGCCUGCUGAUCGACUCCGGCGGGUGCGUGUGAUCCGGCUGCCAUUUUCUUAUUUUAUUUCUCUCUUCUUCCUUUUAAAUAUAUAUAUAUUUUUAUGAUCUAUAUAUCUUUCUUUCUAUAUAAUUAAUGUUGUUUAAUUUAUGGGUUUUUAGGUGUGCAUGUGCAUGGUUAUGUAGAAGUUUAUAGAGAGAAGAAAUAGGGGAUGGGAGGGAGUAAUUUAAUUGGCUUCAUGACCUCUAGUUUAUCUUUUUCGCCGUUGUUUGAGGACCUACCUACCUACCUACCUACCUACCAACAUUUGACUUAAUUGAGACCAAUCUAGAUUAAAGGAAAAGGAACAAACACAAAAUGAAUCAAUGAACGGUACUUGAUUGGUUUUUUUGAUUAUUAAGUUAAUAGUCUAUUUUUUAAUAAAUUUUAAGAGUUUAUAUAUUUGUAUUAAGAAUUUUUGUAAAUAAUUUAUACUCAUAUUUAUAUCUUAAUUAUUCGGAGUGAACUAUUAAAAUGUAUUAAAAUGCAAUCAAAUAAUACCUUAAUCAAAUAUAGUUAUCGAUAAUGAUAUAUAUUGCGAAUAUUUAUAUUAUUUUUUUGAUUAUUAAUUAUAUCAAUAAGUAUUAAUGGGGAUAAAAAACCCGUAUCCAGUAUCCAACAACUCAAACUAUACAAGGGGAUGGUAUAAUUUGGGUUGCUGGAUACGAGAUCUUCGUAGUAGGAUGGAUGUCCUCCUAUAAUUUCUAGCAAUUUUAUGUAUUCAUAAGUCUUACAAUUGUAAUUUAGUAUAAAUUUAUCAUAAUACAUAGUUGGACUUUAUGAUUAUUAAAGAAAAAAGAACAUAUAUAUAUAUAUAUAUAUAUAUAUAUUCAGCAUUAAUUAAAAUUGGGUAUAAAAAGUAUUCAAUAUGGAAAAAUAUUAAGUUUUGGAUAGGGAAAGAUACCUCACGUUUUAUAAUUAAAAAAAUAUCUUUUAAUUUUUAAAAUGAGAAAAUAAUGAAUGUGUUAAUUAGUUUUCCAUUUAUUAAAGGAGUUGUCAACAUUUUGAGAGAAAAAAUUUCUCAAAACAGCUAGCGUAAAUGGUGCAUUAACAAGUUCUACCAUGUGUAUUAAUUGCACAUUUUACAUUUACACUAAAAUUAUAAUUUUUGCACCAGAAAUAUCAUUUCACUUUAUUAAGAAUAUUUUUUUUCUUUAUCAAUUUAACAAAUUUAAAUAAUAAUCUAGUAUAAGUACAUACUUAUAUGACCUGUCAAAUUGAAGGAUACACACUACAAAUGUAAGGUUCUCAGCCCUCCACGCCUCAUAAUACCUUUUCAAUAAAAGAGAACAGCUACAGGUUAUGUUCUUCAUAUAAAUAUACUACCCACCUAAAUCUCAAUCUCCCUCUCUCACACAUAUUCACACAUUGUGAGUGUAAAUGGCCAAGAAAGAGAUGGAAGUAGUAAAGGGUAUAGACCUAGAAAAGUACAUGGGCAGGUGGUAUGAAAUAGCUUCAUUCCCUUCAAGAUUUCAACCCAAAAAUGGUGUCAACACAAGGGCAACCUACACUUUGAGAGAUGAUGGUACUGUCAAUGUUCUGAAUGAGACCUGGACUGAUGGGAAAAGAGGGUUUAUUGAAGGAAGUGCUUAUAAGGCUGAUCCUUCUAGUGAUGACGCCAAACUCAAAGUCAAAUUCUAUGUUCCUCCAUUCCUCCCCAUCAUUCCUGUUGUUGGAGAUUACUGGGUUUUGUACCUUGAUGAUGAUUAUCAGUAUGCUUUGAUUGGCCAACCCUCCAGGAAGUAUCUAUGGGUAUGUUCAAUUAUUUUUUCAAUUUACAAAUAUAAUUAUGCAUAGAUUUGUAAUUCAUGUGCAGAAUUACAUAACUCCAAAUUCACAUGCAUGUACUAACUUCAACCUAAAAUUGCACAAAAUUUGUUUGUGAUGGCAAAACAUUGUAAUUGGCUACCAUUAUCGCUGCCUGGUUUUUUUUCCCUUCAAUAAUAAUUAGGAUUAAUAAAUUUGGGUUUCCUGUAUUGCUUUGGGGAGAAACUAUAUUUGACCCAUUAAAUUUAAUUAAGCUUUUUGGGUAAUAUUUAAUGGCAUCAAUUACUUGAACAAAAUAAGUGAAUAACAUUAACACUGUGAUUCAGAGGAAGGAUUCUAUUACUUUAUAGAAUUGGAUCAAAUUAAGCUUAGAACUUGGAUUAAUUCCAAGACAUGGAUUGUAUUACUCCAAAUGGUGAAUUUUACAAGUUAUAUUACAGAAUAUUUUUUUCUUUCUUGUUGUUGCCGUUAUAUUCUUAUUGUGAUUGAUUAUUGUGGAUGGUGUUUGGUUUCAGAUAUUAAGCAGGCAACCCCAUCUUGAUGAAGAAGCCUACAAUGAGCUUGUUGAAAGGGCUAAAAAUGAAGGCUAUGAUGAUGUCAGCAAACUGCACAAGACACCACAAACUGAUCCUCCACCAGAGAGUGAAGAAGAUACCAAAGGAAUUUGGUGGAUCAAAUCCAUUCUAGGUAGAUAGAAGGGAAAGGGCAGAUGGUGUGGGCACAGAUUAUAUCAGCUAUAGCCUAUAGCAAUAAAAGCGUGUAUGAGUAGUUUUUAUUUUGCUUCCAAGUUUUGCUAGUAUGAAAGUAACGUUUAGUUGUGGUACGUACGUAUGUAUUUAUUGUGAUUUGUGGGUGACUUGUUGGUAUUUUCAGUUGGAAAUGGAAGAAAUAUGAAACUUAGGUUCUAAGGAUGAGCGGUGGGGUCUUGUUCACAACUUAUAUCGGUCUUUGUCAAUCAAUGGAUUAGGUGGUGCCUACUGAAAUAUGCUUGUAACUUGAUGCGAUUGUAUCCGUAUGCAUGUGCUUUUAUAUUCCACGGUUGUUGUGUUUGCCUGUUUAGUUUGUUUAGUUGCCCAAAGAAGCUGCUGUAAACAAACAAGCAGUAAUUAACUCUUCCCAGCAUUGCUCUGCUGUCUACAUAUUUUUUUCUAGUUUAAAUUCAAGCUUACCAUUCAUAAUAAACAUUGCAGAGAUGGUUAAAUCAUGAUCACCAGGUAACCAUUGGCAUUGGGUAAGGACCAAAAGUAUAAGUUAGUAAUUGAAGAUAAAAAAAAUUGAACUAGUACACAAAAAAUCAAGGACAUUUCUGGUAGGCUUGUUUUUGAGAUAUUAUUCCUAUCCAUUUUGUAAAGAAAAGAAUGACAGGACACUGGAAUGUGCAAAAAUCCAUAUUUCAAAAUGAACUGGCUGCGGUGUUAUAUGUGGAUGCCAUAAACAACCCCAAGUAAACAAUGAGACAGAAUUGAAUUAAUGUAAACAAGAAGUAAGCAUACAAAUAGUAUAUUUUAACAAGAAAAACAUUGCCAAUAGGCCAAUACUAUUCAGUAUUUGCUUUCUUCAAUCUCACAAGCCAGGAUACAAGAGGGAAGAACCUAUGUUCCAUCUUGAAACAAUCUAUUAGCGAUAUUGACAAUAAUUUUGUGAAUCGUCAUCACAUUUAACAGUAUGACAAGGAAUCCAUGGUCGCUUCAGACGCUUUUACAAUAUUGUACAGCAUUGAUUGGUUUUCUUCGCCUGCUUGUAGAACAUCUGUUUAAGAAUAUCACCAGUAGGCUCUUGUGUCAGCAGUGACCCCGUUUAUUUUCACAGCAAUAAAACAAAGGAUCAUAACAUAGAAUUUAAAUUAUAGAUCCGUAUAAAAAAAAAUACAACUUCUUAUAAAAGAAUCCACAAUCAUGGGAAAAAAAAUAAGGGCCAUUAACAGGUGACAAGCUUCUUGAAGAGAUGAGAAAGGUCUCACAUGAAUAUACUGAAAAACAAUGAAACAUGCUUUAAAAAGCACGAGAGAUGGCAUCAAUCCGUAAAACAACCACCACCUCAACACUUGGCUUUUCCACUAGGCUAAGUGGGUUGAAUCAUGACCCAAGGAUUUUCCUUUCCUACUAUAAUUGGAAUGAAACUAUAUAGCAUACACCUCAAACUUAGCAGUCAAAUUUCACAACCUUGGAUGUUUUGUCCUCCACUGACCGGGAAUAAUUGACUUCCAAAGACGACAAAAUAACUCAAUAAAAGCAUAUUUUUAUUCAACUAAUAGACCUAACUAGCCUAGAUGUUCAUUUAUAACGUUGUUCUCAUAUGCAAAGAGGUUACAUGUUACAUGCAGGCACAAAGCCACACUGGGCUUAGUAGGUGGUCGGCCAAACCACUCAACUUUCCUCUAAUUUUAUUUUUUUAUAUAUAUAAUAUAGAGCUUAAUUGAGGACUUAAUGAAAAUCACUGGAUAAACUAUGCUUGAGCAAAUAAAGUUCAGAAAUAGUUUUAAUUAAUUUUUCCCCAGAUAGACAUACUUGCAAAAUUACACGAGCAUCUGUACAACAUAAACUAAAACCUGACCUGAACAUAACCUUCUGAAACAUUAAUAGGAAGAAAUACAAAAAAGAUAACUGGUAAACAUGGAAUGAAAAUUGAAAUCAUUUCCAUUGUAGGAAAAAUAUUUUAAAUUAUCCCCAACAAAAUACCAAAAUGCUAACAAAAUGUUUUACAAAAACACAAUGCCUGUAACUGAAACCAAAUAAAUCAGCCCAUAGAAACAGUAAAAACUGUGGACAAGCAUCUUCUCAGUAUCUACACUUAAAUACAGCAGCAAAAUCCAACUCCGGACACUAAGAAUUCAAUCAUGUUUUAUGUUAUACAUGUAUAUUAGUAUCCUCAGAAUUAGUAUAGAUCCUCAUUAUCAGAACCUGGGUCGAGUUGGACAAUGAAGGCAUGAUCCUAGCUAUAUUUUUUAAGCACAGUUUGGAAAAAGCAAAAGUUACUCGACAAUAAAGACGUACACACAUUAAAUCAUCCUAUUGAUAUUUACACCAAAUAGCUGCUGGCUUACAUGGACUCUUCAGUUGAGGGUGAUGACAUGGGUGUGGGUAUGGAUCCAUGUCGGAUCCUUCACAUGUCGAUCAGACACUUCGAGUCACCAACAAUUGAUAUUAUACCCCAUAAACUUGAUGGUAUUUUGAAUUUGAACCAAUAAUUUUGGUACUUCUUUCACUGAAUCUGUCAUACUUAAGUCAUCACAUCCCACUAAUCAUCUUCUAUAAUCAAAAUUCACACUAAAUGUUCGACAUUCUUUCACUAAAUCACAUACUAUUAACUUUAAACAACAUGACUUGUAUCCACAAAACCAUAUCUAAAAAAAAAAACUUUUUCGCUGAGUUCCCGAAUUUUAUUAUUUUAAUAAUAGACAAGUCUAACACCAACACCCGACUCCCAUACCCUAGUCCGUGUAACAUAGUAUAGUUGUAAUCAUGUGAUAAUCUAUAAACUUAUAUAGGCACAUAACAUUUGAAUCGUAGAUUUCAAAAAAGAGUUGCACAACAUUAAAGUGACGAUAGAAUACAAACUUUGCCUUGAGCAAAGUUUGUAAUUUGGUGAGUUCAACUGCGAGGGCCCAGAUCAAAUGUAUGUAGUGUGUACCUGUGAAGCUGUACUAAGAUCCGAACUCUUCUCAACUAAACUGUCCAGCUUCUCCCCUCGAGCAAGAACACUAUCGAUGGUCUUGUGCUGUAGCAAAUAAUAGCAUGCAUGACAUACAUAACAUUAGGCGAAACAAAAGAAGAGCAGAUAAAUAUGAUUUAGUGUGCAAUAGGUGAAAAUUGUCCAUUCAGGUGAACAUUGUAAAACUCUAAUCCAUAUCACCAAAAUAACAAAUAGAUCAUCUUAUCUCACCGUUACAACUAAAGUAAUUACAACAACAAUCCACGGAACAGCAGUAUGUCAUGUAUAACAGAAAGAACCCAUGGCGAUUAAGAUAUUUCAAUGCAUAGCAUUUCUAUACAAGUCAACUCCCAGAAUAAUCCAAGAUAACCAAGGUUGACUCUCCAAGUAUUCAUUGUUGGGUCCUAGCACUAGGUGAGUUGUUUUUACUUUGGUUUUUAAGCACAUUAUUUUGGAUAUUCCAUAUAUGUAACUAAAAAGUACCUUGUGCUAAGAUUUAAAACAAAAACAGUGGCUUGAAACACCCGAGACUACCUAUGAAAAAUUCUCUGAAAAACACUGGUGAAGACCAAAUGUCAAUCCAUACUGCAACCCUUUAUUCGUUUUCUUUGUCACGAGCUGCUAAAUGCAAAUGGAUUUCCUCAAUACCAAUCUCAGCUACUAGCUUAAACCGGAAAAAUGCUAAACAUCCAUUUCACUUGGGGGAAAAAGUUGGUCACUUAUCAAGGGACUUGUGAUAUAUGGAAGUGACAUGAAGGGGUCUAUGACUUGCCAGGGAUCAAUUACAUGUUUGCUAUUUUUAACACGCAAGUUGAUUGUUCGAAGUUUAAUGGCAGCUUUAUUGGGGUAUGGAGAGGAGAUAAACAAGAUCAAGCGGUCUCUCAGCCCCACUUUAUUAGAUGUGGACUAUGGACAGAAAGAAACAUUAAAAAAAAACCUUCAUAAGACGGGGCCAGUAUCAAGUUGCAGCACUUUUCAGUAGUUUUGCUCGUGGAUUUUUUGGGGGGAUGUCCAGUAUUAAGGUAUAGCAUUGUCAGUAGGUGCAGUACUUGUCCGAAGUCUUUCGAUUGGCUCCAUAUUAGGUUGGCCAUGGAAUACUGGUUUGUAGAUGUUAUGGUGGAUGCUUGGUAUCAUAGGUGUCCUUAGUGAUAGUCGGGUGCUUAUUUUUCUCUUUCUUUGUAGAAGGGUUGCACGCUGUUUAAGAGCUAUUGGCUGAAUACACUUUUCUGGUGAUAAGAUAGUUAAAUAAACUUUUUGUUUUCUUUUCUGGAAAGGUUAGAUUUGAUAGUAAAAUAAACUUCCUGUCAACUCUGUCAUAAAAUGUAAUAAAGGGGAAAAAAAAGAGAAAUAUGAAGUAAGGCCUGCAUGACACAUCAUCACUCAUCAUGUAAAAUCAGCCAGUGUCAUCAAACAAAGUUAAUUUAGAGCUCCUUUACAUUAAAAACCAUGCACUAUACAACAACAGACAACCUCAAUUUUUCUAAAAAAAAUUGUCUUUUCUGAUUUGAUAUGGUAAGGAAUUAUAGACAUAUUUGAACUAAGUGAAACCAUAUUUAUUAAUUUUCACCCCAGGUUACAAAAUCUUUCAAGUAACCAAACAGUAGUGCCACACUGCCACACUGAGAAUAUGAUCAACUGGAAAACUAGUAAUAAAUGCAAUUAAAUAUCAGGACUCACGAGUAUAAUUUUUGUUUCAUCCAGUUCCCUCUGGAUUUUCAACAACUUGUCUGCCUCAGCAGGGUCCUGAAUAAACAGAAAAUGGGGUUCAGGUUCAUCAGCAGCUCAAGUUUCAAAACUAUAUGAAAAUUUAGAGUUGAAAAAAAUGGAGAAAUACCACUAAGUCUUAUGUACCCAUCCAACAGUGAUAAAGAAACUUAAUAUCUACCUGAAAUUUUGUCAAAGCAUCAUUGAGGUAGGGCCAUGGUUGAGAGUUAUCUGCUUGCACAGUUCUCCACGACUCACCAAAAUUCUUUUGGUACUCAUCUAUUACCUGACAAGUAUUUAAUAGGUUAUCAGAUCAAAAAUUUAACAGUCUGGCACAUGAACACAUGUAUGCUUAUUAUUCUAAGAUACUAGUAGAGGUCACCACUCACCACCUUUCCCAACACUCGAACCCUUACAGAGAAUGUAGAAAUAGUUCUAAGGGUCCUUCAUGUACUUGUUUACCAUCUUAUAAGGAAUGAUGCAUUGUCCGUCCUUAUUUCCCCCCUUCUUUUCAUUUUAUAUAAUUUCUUGAUUUUUAUUAAUAAUAUAGAACAUGAGCUUACUAGCAUUUAGCAGCAAUAUGUAGAAUGAAAAUAUAGAUGGAAUACUCAAAACAUACAAAUUAUAUUACAGUUUUAGAAUAUCUAUUAUCUGUAACACAGGGUCACGAGUGUCAAACUGUAAAGUACAUGGCAACAUUAAAAGAUCACAAUGCUGGAACACAGGUGAAGCAUGUGUAUUUGAACAGAUGAUUGUAGUCAUAUAUCUAUAUAAUAAAAUAGAAUCCAUUUUGAAUCUUUCAUUUGACCAAGCACAAGAUGGUUCAGAUUCAUUCUAACUUGAUUCUUCCAACUUAAUCUAAAGGCUCAUAUUUCUUCCCGCCCAAAUCAACUUCACCCCUACACCCUACUCUCUCUCAUGUUCACACACAAAAUCUUUCUCUCUCCUCUCUUCUUCACACACACAAACAAAUAAUAAUAAUAAUUAUUAUUAUAAUAAUAGUACUAAUAGUACUAAUAAUAAUAAUUAUGCUUAUUAUAAUAGUACUACUACUACUAAUAAUAAUAGUAAUAAUAAUAAUAAUUAUUAUUAUUAUUAUAAUAGUAAUAGUAAUAGUAAUAAUAAUAAUAAUUAUAGUAAUAAUAAUAAUUAUUAUAAUAAGUAUAAUAAUUAUUCAGAUUCAUAAUUAAUAAAUAUUCAGAUUCAUUCUAAUUAAUUUGGGCGGGAAAGCACAAGUACGGAUCAGAUUAAUUCUAAUUUUAAUUCAAAAAAAUAAUUAUUAUAAUAUAAUAAUUAUUAUUAUAAUUAUAAUACUACUACUACUACUAAUACUAAUAAUAAUAAUAAUGAUAAUAAUAAUAACAAUAACAAUUAUAAUAACAAUAAUAAUACUAACAACAACAACAACAACAAUAAUAAUAAUAAUAACUAUUAUUAUAAUAAUAAUAAGAACAAUAAUAAUAAUAUUUAUAAUAUUAAUUAUUAUUAUUAUUAUUAGAACAAUAAUUAUAAUAAUAAUAACAAUAAUAAUUAUAAUUAUAAUAAUAAUAACAAUAAUAAUUAUAAUUAUAAUAAUUAUACUAAUAAUAACAAUAAUAAUAAUAAAAAUAAAAAUAAUUAUAAUUAUAAUAAUAAUAAUAGUAAUAGUAAUAAUAACAAUAAUAAUUAUAAUAAUAAUAAUAAUAAUAACAACAACAACAAUAAUAAUAACAAUAAUAAUAACAAUAAUAAUAAUUAUUGUGAUAGUGUGGUGAAUUAUGAUAAUUGUUAUUGAUAAUUGUAAGUUUUGUAGACAAGUUUAGAUUUUUCUGUAUAUCUAUUUUUAAAGAAAAAUUAAUUAUUGUGGUAGUGUGGUAAAUUAUGAUAAUUGUUAUGUCUGAUUGUAAGUUAUUUUAAGUUGCAAAGAGUCUUUAGGUAAUAUAGUAUUUUUCAAAUUUUAAUCUAAUUUUUCGUUACGCCAUGUCUUCAGACACGGACAAUUACUAGUAUAUUUAUAUAACACAGCAACCUAAAAAUAAAGGCCAUGUUUGGCAUGGAAAUUUCCCUUAAACAUGUAUUAUUGUAUGAUAUUGGCAAACAAUAUCAACGCACCUGUCAUUUAAAAUUUGAUGAGAAGCAUACAGGUAAGUUGACACAUAAACAGUUAAACACACGUAUUUUAAAUCAGUAACAAUAGUAUCGAAAUCAUGGAAGCGGGGUAUAAUAAGGGACAAGACAAUAGUAGAUAAAACUUUUACUAAGCCACUAAUCAAUUUCAUUAACUAAUUGAAGUUUCAAGUCAAUAAUCACAAUAAAAAUAUAAAUAAGUCUAAACGACCUUUUUGGUCCUAGUAUUCUAUACUUUGUUUCACUUAAAUCCUUCUACCUUUUUCCCCAUAAUUGUCCAUGUACUCCUUGGAAAAGGAUCAAAUUGAUUCAGAGUUUGGCUAAGUUAGACCGGUUGACGUGGACCUGAGGUAAAUAUUAUCAGUCUCAAAAUUAAAUUGAAGUCAAGUAACUCAAAGUCAAGUAAAUUAGUUGCCCAAAGUCAAGUAACUCAAUAGUGCCUUUUAUGCCAAACUAGUAGGGUAAGCUGAAAUGAAUCCAAUACGUAAAGAGUAAAGUAGAAUUAUAGAAGUAAGGCAAGAAAAAGAAUUAAAAAGAUAAACAAAUUAAAUACAAUAGAAAUAAAUACAAAAUUUACAAUAAAAGAAAAGAAAUGAAUUUAGUAAAUACACACACAUAAAUAGAAAAACAAAUUAUAUGUAUUUAAAUUGAAAAAUAAAGAAAGAAAAGGGUAAUAAAAAGAGAGAAACAGAAAAAAACAUAAGAAAAGGUCCAAAACACCCUACUCGGACUCCGAAAUGAGUGGCCCAAAAAAUGAAAAUUCUUAGCUGGUAUUUCUCAAAUCAUUUAUGUGAAAAUUAAUUUUUUUUACUAAAAAGAACAUAAAAGGCCUCUCUCUUUGCUUUCACUAUCUCUACAAAACCAUGAUAGCCUGGCACCAUCAAUGCCGCCCCACACUUUCACUACCUAGAGGCUACAAACCAUUGGGUCGAUUAUCCUCUCCCCCACCAACGGUCCAACUCCACCCUUGACGUUCCUUCCCCCUUUUUCACCAUUAUGGCUAUUCUUAGCGCUGUAGAAAGCAGAAAAAUCCCAGGUACAAUUUUUCAUUUAAUUUUUUGAUUCUUAUUGUAUCCUUCUUGUGGACAUAUCAACCAGUAAAACUUGGUCACGUAAAUUGGCUUGAUUAAUUUGGCCUUUUUUCCAGGAGUACAUUGGCAAUUAGUUUUUUUAAAAUAAAAAAAAUACCAUGGUUGUAUAUCUUUACUGAAAAUAUCUACAAGUUCUGUCAAGUCAUCCUGGAAAUGCACAAUAAAAUUACAACAAAAUGAACGAAAAUCUGGAAAGCCAGCUAAAAUGCACCAGUAUGCAUUUUCUAAAUAAACACAAUUUUGCUCCAGUAAUACAAAAACAAUAAGAAAAUAUGGACUCACCUGGUUGAGCAAGGAAAAUGCACUUCGAACCGGGUAAUGAUCAUCCAUAAAUCCUAAUGCACAAAGACCAUUCCUAUUAUAGGAAUGCACCUUGUACUCUGUCAAGAAAAGAAGAAAACACAAUAAACAUAGGGAAUUUAAAAUAUUUGGAUUGACACCCCCAAAAGAAUAUACCAAAUUUCUAUUGAGAAGGUCGUCCAAUUAAGCAUCUCACAUCAUAAAAUGCAGUUACGGGCAAUUCAAUCCAGAGCUCCAUGAGUCACAGCUCAAGAGCCAUUCUACUAACAUUAAAUGAUCAACAUCCUAAUUUGAAGGUAAUAUAGAAACAGAAAAAAAAAAAACUUCCUUCAAACUCCAUAACAAGUCAAACAAACUUCACAAGCACAGUGAGUUAAAUUUAAAAGUCUCCUUCAUUCUAGGGCCAGAAAUCUGGGAAACCCGAUAUAUUAGCAUUCAGAUUGUUUCAAUUUCUUAUAAAACCCCAUCAAAAUAUCUAAUAUACUUAUAGACAACCCAUCUCCCUUUAUCAUCAAUUACUUUUCCUCGUGUGUCAAUUUUUAUUUUGUUCUAAGCAAUUCCAACUCCACAUCCAAAACCAGAUCCUAAUUCAAACAAUCGCUUAAAUUUUUUAAUCAAACGUAAUCCAACAAAAUAUGCUAUAUUAAAACGUAACUCUUCCUUCGAAAAACGUAAAGAAAUAAAUAAAUAAAUAAUUGAAUCAAUAAGAAAAGUAUAAGGAUUGAUACCUUCGUGUUGAACGGAUUGGCGUUGGCUGGGUGGAGUCCGACUGGCAACGGUCCGUCCUACGAAGACAACGAAUUCCUUAACGCUGGACCUCUGAAAAUAGCCGAAAUGCCUCACAUCCAUGGCGUUGGCUAAGAUCACCGGAUCCGAACCGGUCGGAUCGCAUUUAAGUACCAGUAACGCCGUGAUCUUCAUCUCUUCCCUCUACUUUUUCUCCCUCCUCUUAAGCUCCGAGAACCAAGAACCAGAAGAAAGAAAGACAGAAGUUCUCCGUUCACAAUAUAAAAUUGAUUCGAUGGUCGCGUUAAUCUCACAGUCCGCAUAUCUACACAAUAUCUUUUUCUAUUCUUUUUUCCUUCUUUUUUUUUUUUUUUUUNNNNNNNNNNNNNNNNNNNNNNNNNNNNNNNNNNNNNNNNNNNNNNNNNNNNNNNNNNNNNNNNNNNNNNNNNNNNNNNNNNNNNNNNNNNNNNNNNNNNUUGAAUAAAUAAACGUGUUAUUAAUAAGAUGUUUCCGUGUGGUCGAUGUAUUUGUAGUGUGUUACAAUAUCUAUGUUUUGCCAUACGGUACCUACCUCGAUUGGCCCUCAGUCGGUAUCACCCCUCAUUUUCUUGUUCCUUUAUUUUAUGCUCUCCUAAAUACACAUGCAAAUCAACCGAACCGAUUUAAAUUUUGUCGAAUUUGAAUCAAACCCGAAUUGUUAGUUAAAUUUAAAUAUAUUCGAGUAAUAUAAUUGAACCAACACUCAUGUGUGAGUUCGAUUGUUAAUUGUUCGUGAACUGUUCACAGACAUGAUCGAGUGAAUCGUUCUCAAACGUUCACGAAUACAUGCUCGUUCGCGAACGUGAUUAAGUUCACGAAUAUUUUGACGAAUCACGUCGAGUGAUUAUAUUUCUAACUUCCAAGUCGAUUAAUAAAUUGUACAUGUAAGAAAUCGAAUCACUCGGACCCAUGUUAGAAAUUGAAUUACUCGAAUCGAACCAAAAUCGAACUAUUCGUGAUUCAAACCACAUGGUUUGCAAACAUGUUCGAUUGAGCAAAACCAUAUGCGAACUCGACUCAAUAAUGUAUCAAACUCAUAUUCGAACCGAAUUUUGACCAGCUCUCAACAAGAUAAUUAAAUUUUUUAAAAGAAACAUAACAAUAAAAUAAUAAUAAAGUCUUAAAUUUUUAACCAGCUCUCAUCCUAUUUUAAACUGGUUUUCAGAUUUAUACUCUUAAAUGACAUACAUCAUUGCUGAAGAGGAUAAUAAGCCUACCUAAAAUCAUUACCAACAAUCUAUUCAACUUAAAUUUGUAGGUAUGUAAAAAUGGAACCUAAAUUUUAAGAGCACCUAACAACAAACGAAUGGAUUUUAGUGUUUCAUUUCAUGUUGGCUUUUUGUGCAACUCCAAUUUACUCAAACAUCACAAAAUUUAUGUUAUUGUUAGCCUUUUCAUAUAUUUGUAGGGUAUCAGUUUUUACAUAUUAAAUAAAAAAUGGGCGAAUAUUAUUAUUUGGUUAUAUUUAUAUAUUUGAGGGGACGACUAAAUUACUAAAAAAUAUUAUCUCUUAUAUAUAUGUAAACCUCAAGUAUAUAUUUAUGUUUACUCUUAAAGAUAAUGAAUGAAUUCUUAGUUUAGUAAUGAUAACAAAAUAGUGAAAAUAUGAUGUUAAAUUUAGAAUUUUUUUGUCAUUUUGUAUUAUUAUUAGUACACAUGCAUGUAUGCCUAAUUUUUUAGAAAUAAAAUUUUAAGAUAAUUGGUGCAAAAAUUUUGGAAUGUGUGGGAAGCUCAUUUAGUCACAACUAUACAUACACUUAUAAAAAUACAUUUUAGGUGUGAAAAAAAUACACUAAAAGUAACCACCUCCCUCCCCUCAUAUUUUAUAGUAAUAUACUAGUCUCAGUAGCACAACAGGCAAUAUGUGUGUAAUAAUUGUAAGAAUAUAAUAAGAAUUUUAUCAAAGGGAUAGAAUAACAAAAAAAAAAAAAAUCAAGAAGAACAAAAUCCUAAUAAAAUUUAGAAAAUUUUAAAUUCACAAUAUAAAAUGUUAUUUCUACAACAAAAGUAUCGCUAUAGAUCGACGAUUUUUAUCGUCGCUAUAUAUAUACAACGAUACUUUUAUUGUGAAAAUAAAAAAAAAUAUUGUGAAUUUAACCAUUCUCAAAAAUAAAAUUUAUAAGAGAAGGAGAUUUGUGACAGUUUCAAGAGCACAGUUAUUCUCUCUCUCUUUCUUUCUUUAUAAUAAGAGAUAAAUAGAUAGAUUAAUAAUUUAUUUAUUUGUUUUGGUUGUUAAGCAAUUGCUUUUAAAAAAUAAAACAUGUAAAUAAUCUGCAUUAUGGAUUAGACUCCCCUGUACUUUAAACAUUUUCUUUAUAUAUCCAAACAGGGAGGUCACAUGCACGCAUGAUGAAUUGGGGCAACCGCCGUUAAUGCAGAAACGACGUGUAGGGUCGUUUCUGUCUUCCCAGCUAACAAAAUUGACUCAUCCUUUUAUAUAUAUAUACCCUUAUCUUAUUCACCCGUGCUCAUCCCUUUUAGGCGGCGGUUUCGGUCAUACAACCGUCGCCUAUACUUUUAGCGACAGACAACAUAUAGCGUCGUUAAAAGUAUAGGCGACGAUUGUAUAACCGAAACCGUCGUUUAAAGGGAGGUCAGCACGGAUGAGGAAGAUAAUGUAUAUAUAUAUAUAAUGAAUGAAUAGUCAAAUACUCCACCAUUUGCAUAUGAAUAUGAAUAUAAAGAAUACAAACACUGACCAUAACGCGGUUUCAACUUUCAUUUAUGAAUUGAAAAUUGAAGUCACACCCAAUACAGCUGUGACGAAUCCAUAAUCUUCAUUACAAUAAUAUUUUGUUGACAGAUCUAUAUUCAAACAAAGUAAAAAACCCACUGCAUCAGAUCUUGUUUUCCUGGAAAUUUCAGAUUCAACUUUUUUGCUUUUGUUUGUCUGAAAACUGAGGUGACCCAUUUUAGAAAGACAAAAACAAAUGACAUUUUUGUUUUGCACUUUCAAGUUAUUUCUGGCCUUUUAAGGUUUGCGUAGAUAUUGUCUUGUUUCGCUAAUUUUGGGAAGUAUUACUACGAAAUUGGGAGUGUUGGUUUUCCAAAGAUGGAAAGUUCAAGAAGUAGGAGAGUGGGGAAGAGAGGGUAUGAAGAGAGUGUGGAGGAUCAGGAGAGUGGUAUACCCCAGUCCAAGAAGCCCAAAUUGCCUGGUUUAGCUAGGUUUGUUCUAUGUUUUCUGCAUAUCUAUUUACAUCAUCCAUUCAAUUUUUUGGGCUUUACUCUUGCAUCCUUAGAUUGGUUUUAAUAUUUGUAUUCUACUUCAUGCUGUCAAAAUGUUAUACUGCUGUCUAUGGACGGUGAGAUUUAUCCCAAACUUUGGACGGUCCAAGUGAUUUAUUAGGAUGAGCGGAAAAUUAAAAAUCAUCUGUAUUUUGUUAUAUAGAUUUGCUAUAUUAUACUCCUAUAUAUACACAUAUAUGUAUUUAUAUAUGAGAUCAAUGUAUAUAAUAUAUGAUAUUAGGAUGUUAAUUUGAUGAUCUUGAUCAUGCAUUGCAUGUUGUUGAUUCAAGUUCAAUAGAGUAAAGGGUAUUUGGGUUUAUUGGUUCUUCUUUAAAUAUACAGGGCCUUAUCAUAAAACAAAAUAAAGCUACUCAAGUAAGAAAAGAUACCAUUAAGUGUAGAAUUCUAUCACACCUACAAUUUCUCAAAUCCAGGAUCAAAUAGAAGAUGCUAGCAAGAUCUCUGUCUUGAUGUUUUUCAAACAGGAAAUAAUUUGUGGAGUAGAACGUCAUAUAUUUGAAUCAAAUACCAGAUGGGCAGAACCCUAAUUUUUAGUGUGUAGCAUCAAUCUGUGUGUCCGAUUGCCUACACUACUUCAUGGAUUAGUCAAAAGCCUGGAUACAAAAGGAUGCUACAAAUGAUGGGAGAACAGAACCUAAGGAAAUCAUUCAUGAGAUCCUAGUGGUACAAGGACAUGUUUUUUCUGUUUGUGUAUAUGUUCCAUUAAUCAUGUAGCACUUUUAGGGCAUGGCAUUAUUUUUAGUUGGAAUGGGGGUAAAUGAGUGUUUUCUUUGCAAUUAAAUCCAUCAGUUACCUUCCCAGGAGAGUAUGCUGCUGGUCAUAUGUCCAGCUUCAUGAGUCUAAAUAACAUGUCAAAAACAAUGUUUUUCUCUCUUUUUAUCUCAUAUUGAAAUACUUAGAAGCUCUGUGGAACUUUUUAUUUGAUUGACCAAGAUUUACUCAAAUUCAGAUUUCAAACACUCGUAUUGCUUGCUCCUGCCUUUUUAAAUUUAACCCUUAUAAACUUCCAUUGAAUUAGACUACUUGUUUGAGUUCUAUAUUAUUUGGUCUAGUCUCAAGUGUUCUGUGUAUUUAAUAUGCUCUAUCGAGCUUUCAGCAUUUUUUGGUUCAUUUAAACAUACCAUAAUUGUUUGUUUCUUUUUGGCAGCGUGAUUGUAGAGUCUUUGAAGGCCGAUAGCUUGCAAAAACUUUGCUCAUCUCUAGAGCCUCUCUUCCGCAGAAUUGUGAGUUGUAGAAUUAUUGUUAUUAUAUUUUACUAUUUUAUUACCUGAUUAUUAAAGAAUAUCAGAUUUUACAAUAUCAAUGCGAGCAAACAUUACGCUUGGCCGCUAUCAUUGAUUAAGGUUGGAGAUUCCAGUAGUUGGUUAACUGUGAAAUGCAUUUUGCAGAUUCAAUGCAUGUUUUUCAAGUUCUAGUUCAAAAAUAAUUAUAAUUCAGAUGUAUCAUGGAGACUACUCUUCCCUACAAUGAUACCUAAUGGUGUCAGGAUAUCUUAACCUUAAUUAUUUUGAAGACCUCUUGCUCUUAUGAUUUGUUGUGUGUGGUUCUCCUCCGAAUGCAUGUUUGUAUUUUUUUUUCUUAAAAGGCUCGAGUUGGAUUAGGCAUCUAUAUACGUCAGAGGAGAAAAAGGUUAUACUUCUGUAAUGCUUUUACUUGUUUGUCUCACUUAUCUAUGUAACCCUCGAACAUGAAUUUAAUUCACUUAUUCGCAAGGGACUUCUAAAGGAAAUUUCACUCUCACUUUGACUUUUCUCUUUCACAACUAUAAUCGUAUGAACAUUUUAGCUACAAGAAAGGCUCCCAAAUGCACUGAAGUAUGUUGCAUUCCUCCAACUUAUUUUACUACCUAGAAAUGUCACCUAUCAAGUAUCAACAUGCCACAUAUCAAAUUUCUUUAUAUUCAACUCUGAAAUUUUAUUGACCUGUGAGCAAAAAUCUUUUUGGAUUGCGCGUAACUUCUUUAUCGUUGUUACUGGAUUACACUGAUAUGGUUUGUUCAUUUGUUGGCUUAGAAACAUAUUUCUGUGAAGUACAAUCUUGGUUCAGUCUUUGAAAUUUUUCUUGAUUAACUAAAUCAUCUUUAGCCGUGUUCAGUGGCAGAAUGGAACUUUCAUAGUCCUAGAAAUGAGACUUAACAUUGUUUAUUAGCAUAAAAAUGGGACCUUAUAUGCAUAUUGUGGACCUGGAAUAUGUUAAAAUCAUUUAUCAGCAUGUAGUGUGACCUGCAUUUCCUUUAAUAGUGUACUUUUGCAAUGGAAAAUCAGGUAAGUGAAGAAAUUGAGCGAGCUUUGACGAAAUUGGGCCAUGCUAAGUUGACUGAAAGGUAAUAAUAUCCUGCAUCUGUAUUUAAUUUUUGCAGUUAAAAUAUCUAAUCUGUUUCCGUGCAUAUUAUGAUACCGGUAUAUUUCCUGAUUUUAUGUAAGAGUGAAUUAAUACACCGACUUGCCAAUGAAACUUGAGAACAUGCUUUGCUUGGGAGUUGGAACUUCAAAAUUUAAAUCAGUAGACAUCAUAAUCUGGAUUUCUAAGCCUAAAAUAUUUUAGCUCAGGUUAGAUUACUGCAAAAGUAGAUACAGAGUGCAAUUUGGAAAUUAUUUUACAGAACAAUUUAUUAAAGCAUCUGCAAUUUGGAAAUUAUUUUUAAAGAACAUCUUAUAUAUGCGAUGUUUUUUUCCCUUGUAAUUUUAUUGGCAGUUGACAUUAUACUCUGGAUUUCUAAGCAUAAAAUAUCUAGCCAUAAAGUUAAUUUACUGCAGAUACGGAUUGCAAUUUGGAAAUUAUUAACAUUUUAUAUCAGGAAUGCUUCUUUUUUAUCGCACAAGGAAAAAAUAUCCUAAACCAUGAACACAUGAACCAAAUUUGAUGUUUUACAGAGUGUAUUUACCCACAUUGAGGUGUUCGAAAUUGAAAAUAACUAGGACUUAGUAUUGUUUAAAAGAUAUUUGUAAAAUCAUCUGAGAGAAAAGUAUUUACUUUUGCUUAUAUAAAAUGGUGAAACAUCAUACUAAUUGUCAUUAGUCAGGGUAGCAUGGAAUUGUUACCUACUUUCCCAUCAGAAUUAACUGAAUGUUAAAGUGCAACCUGGUCAAGAUAGGCAGAGGUGACAUACUUGGUGGUUUCAUGAUGAUAUGGCCUUAAUUCCUAUAUUCUAAGAUGUUGAUUUUGACAUAGCAUGGUUAUGCUGAGUCAAAUAUGUGUCUACAAUCGCUCCCUACAUAUAUGUGUUGGGAUUGACUCAUACUUCUACGGGUUCGACUAAUGGCCACUACGAUAGGGUAGUCGGGGUCUCGCUCACUAGUGAGCGAGUGACUGCCCAGCUUGCCGGUGAGCUGGCGGGGGUUGCAAGGGGGCAGCGCCCCCUGAAAGCCAAGCGCAAAAUGCAAUUUGGCUUGGAAAUUUAUUAGUAGUUCGGUCUUGGGUUUUACUAAUGUAUUGAGCCUCAUAUGUUUGGGUUCAUGUUAUAGCAGUUAGGAUUUUCUAGUUACUAUAAAAAUAUUGUUUGGUGCGUGGAUCAUUGUAGAGUGUGUGAGGCAUCUUAUGAAUACAUCAAACAAGCAGGACUAGCCAAAUUGGUGAAACUGGAUAUAUUGUGUGUUAUUACUUUUCUGUCUUUCAUAUAAUAUAUGUGUGAUUACAAUAUUAUUUGUUCUUAAAUUCUAACAUAAAUACCUUUUCCUUUAACAUAGGAUGUUAUUAAAACAGAACCCUCACCAUAACAAGGUACGUAGGCGUUCUCAUAUCAGGAGUCUAUUCAACUUGAUGAAGCCAUUAUCUAAAACAAGCUUUCUGUAGGAUUAAUGUUCUGAAGAUUUGAUUGAAGCUGUGUUGGUUGUUGAAAAUUUUACAUUACCCUCUACUCCAUCUGCGGCUUAAAAAUUUGCAAUGUUGACAAUAGGAUGACAUGCAAAUUUCUUUUCUCCUAAGGAUCACUUGACAUUUAUAACCAUGGCAAAUGGGAUCACACUUUAUAUGUUCAGAAUUCUGAUCAAUUUCCCUUGUAAAAAUAUCAAUUCCCUAAAUAGAAUGACAUAGAAAUAUUGAUUUUAUUAUUAUUAGUUUAAUUGUAUAUUGGUUCUAGAUUUGAUUCUUAAGCAUUUUUCUAAAGAAAGUACAUUUCUGCUGCAACAGGUCUUCGCCACCACGAAUACAAGGUCCAGAAGGAAAGAGUUUUCAACUGCAUUUCAGGACAAGGAUGCCACCUCAUCUAUUCACAGGUGGAAAGGUUGAGGGAGAGCAAGGUGCGGCUAUCCAUAUUGUCUUGCUAGAUGUGAGCACAGGUAGUGUUGUGCAAACUGGACCAGAAUCAGCAACCAAAUUGAAUGUUGUGGUGCUCGAAGGGGACUUCAAUGAGGAAGUCAAUGAAGUUUGGACAGAAGAACAUUUUGAAAGCCAUGAGGUCAAAGAGCGUGAAGGGAAAAGGCCACUUCUAACUGGGGAUCUACUAGUAAUGCUAAAGGAAGGGGUUGGAACCCUUGGAGAUCUUACUUUCACUGACAAUUCAAGUUGGAUUAGGAGCAGAAAGUUUAGGCUUGGUGUGAAGGUGUCUCCUGGAUACUGUGAUGGAAUCAGAGUUCGUGAAGCUAAAACAGAGGCUUUUGCUGUUAAAGAUCACAGGGGAGAAUGUGAGUUUCUCUUUUGAUUCUUGUGUAAAUAGUGAGAUAUGUAAAAGAUUGGGUAAAAUAUUUUGUGGUGUCUGAGAUGUCUUGAGUGUCUGACUGACAUGGAUAGUAAGCCUAUUAUAAUUCUAGUAUUUUAUUCUAAUGAUUAGAGCAUUAUACACACUUGGUCAAUAUAACAUCCAUUCACAUACAUGAUGUCUUAAUAAUUCCCCUAAAUUAUUUACCCUUUCAGUAUACAAGAAACAUUACCCACCUGCUUUGCAUGAUGAAGUUUGGAGAUUGGAUAGAAUAGCAAAGGAUGGGGCAUUGCAUAAGAAAUUGAUGAAGUCUGAAAUUAUUACAGUUGAAGAUUUCCUCCGCGUUCUUGUUAGGGAUCCACAAAGAUUAAGAAAUGUAAUAGCUUCUCUUUCUGUCGUCUCUUUUUUUUUCCUUCCAAUUAUUUGGUGGAAGAAUUUAAAUUUAGUUGCUUUACCUGUAUAGUACAUCUAUUUUUGUGGGGACUUGAUGCUCUUGAUUGCUUAAUUUUCUUCUUCCUGUGAUAUUUACAAUGUAGAUUCUUGGGAGUGGUAUGUCCAACAGAAUGUGGGAUAACACUGUGGAGCAUGCCAAGACAUGCGUUUUGGGUGGGAAGCUUUACAUCUACUAUGCAGAUCGAGCUCAUAGCAUUGGUGCUGUCUUCAACCACAUUUAUGAGCUUAGAGGACUUAUUACAGAUGGACAGUUCCUCCCUCUUGAAUCGCUCAAUCACAAUCAAAAGGUCAGGGGUUCUUUCUUGUCAAAAAAGCAAGGGUCAAUGGUUUGGCCACAUGUAACUAACUUAUGUCGUUUUUGAAGUUACUCAUGGGAUUUUGUAUGCUUACCUAUGACAGAUUUGGAAAAGAGUUGAAAUUAUGAAUCGAUAGUGGAUGAAUAAAUCAAAACGAGCAUUUUCCAUUUAACUUUCCAAUGGGAAUAUCGGGCAUAAAAACUGUGCAUAAAUACCAUUAUGAUCCUGCAGACAUGCCUACUGAACCACAGAUUGUUAUAGUUUUAUUUACCUCGUUUAAGUGUCAAGUAGGAUAGUUGCAUGUUUCAUUCCUUUUCAUCAGAUAUGAACAAUUCUCACGCUAACUAUAUUUCCAUAACAUGUGCUAAAUAUAAUUUUCUUUACUUUUAUAUAUAUUAGCCUACCCUCCUAUAAUAUUUAAUGUUUCAUUUUUGCCUCAGUUCCAGUUGCCUGCUCUUCUGAAAUAACACCUUCAAAAUGAGUUUGAGAUUGUAAAAUUUCCAAAACCAAAUCUUCCUGACCGACUGAUACGCUUUGGAUAGUGAUGGGUCAACUACUUGCAUAUAUUUUCUGAAUAUAGUCCUUAAUUAGCUUCUGCGAAAUAAGUUCCAGUAGUAUCUAUCAUAAUUAAUUUUCUUCUUUCUGCAAUUAUAGCAUGUAUGACCUUCUUUUCCAAUAGUAAACUAAAUAUUUUUAGUAAUGCUUACAGAUCUCAGUGGAUGCCAUGGUUAAGGGAGCAUACGAGAAUUGGAAUCAAGUUAUAGAAUAUGAUGGCAAAGUUCUAAACGCUUUAUCUAUUAAUAAGAAAGGAACAAAAGCCUUAACUGCAUCUACAGCUGAUCAGAACCAUAUCACCGAUCAUUAUUAUCCAACUACACAGAGGCAGCAGUACGUCUCUUCUGAACCAAUCCCACAAAACCAAAACAAAAUUAACAAUCCAACAAUCCCUCAGUUGAUUGAGUUUCCAUUUACAAGGUCUGAUUCAGUGGCUGGGGUGACUUUGAAUACUCAACAAGCGCCAUUAUUAGGCAACAUAGACUAUGGAUCAGCUGGAGUAUCAGCAGUGGGUGGCUCUUAUAUCUCAGGAGAUUGGUCAGGUGCACAGGAUGGGCAGGUGUUCGGAGACUUUUUCUCUGAAGAAAUCCGCCUGAGGAGUUCUGAGAUGUUGGAGAGUGAUGAUAUGCAGAGAUUAUUAAAAAACUUUGGUAUGGGAUCUGCUUUUAGUCAUUCUGAAGACACAUCCUACUGUUACAACGUUCCUUAUGAGCAUCAAGUGAAUCGCACUUGUGAUCAAGAACGUGGUCGGAGUUCAGGAAAGGCUGUUGUUGGAUGGCUCAAGUUGAAAGCUGCUCUGAGGUGGGGAAUAUUUAUAAGGAGGAAAGCUGCGGAGAGGAGAGCUCAACUUGUUGAGCUUGACUAAGUUAACAUUCUGCGUUAUUAUUUGCAUGAAUUUAUUUUUAUUUUUUUGAAAAGAAAAUGUUUGCGUCUCGCUGGUGAGUAGGCACAGGAAGACAUGGACUUGUUGUUCAGUUUGUGCCGAAGGCUUAGCCUUGGCUCUUGACUUAGAAGUGGGUCGUUUUGUAUAUUUAUUCAUUUUAAGCCAUUUCUCACUGCCUUGUUUAGAUGUUCAUUGUUUUUGCUGUUACUCUUGCCAGUUGGAUUUGUAUUUUGUACAUGAUUCAUAUUCUAUGUUAUUUCAAAAUUGGAACUUUUUGUAUACUACAAGAAGUACCAUGUCCGCAACUUUCAGUUAUGAAGUUGACUUUGCUUGUAUAGCCAUUGUUCAAACAUGCAGUUGCAGCCAACUCUGAUCUUAUAAUUCCGUCGUCUUUGCUAUUUUCGGCCACAACUAGUACAAAUUUAAAACAGGAAAGCAAGACAAAUGUGAUAGACGAAUUGGGGUCUUGGAUUGUAUCACUAUUUCAUUUAACAUGAUACGAUUCCAAGUCAUUUAACCACUAUAUUUAAGAAAAGAACUUCAACCACCAUGAACCACAGGUAUUGUGAUAAAAGCCUAAUACAACAGAAGUGAUACACUUCUCCUGGUUCAUGAAAACAGAAAUGCCAAAACAUCUGUGUUUUGUGGUCUGACAACGUACACGAAAGGAACAUGUUUAAGCUUGUGACGAAGACAUAGAAUAAGAGCGGAAUUGAGGAAAUAAAUUAAACUGAAACUAACAUUGUGUUUGAAACUGCGACCAUGAAUUUUUUUAAUAGAAAUUUUGAGAAACUACAAAGACUAGCAAAAAAGGAAGAAGAAAUUACAUAUUGAUACAAACUCCUGACAAAGUAAAUUAUGAUCUACAAAGCUCAGCAAGUAAAAGAGUCAUAUACAUGAUCAGAACGAGUAGGCAUCAAAUCCAAAGUCUCCCCCCAUUAGCAUUGUUCCAUCUUGCUCCUGCAUCACAUACAGGAAUUCUAUAUAUUUAAAUCUAGGAUCAUACAAAAUUGUAAGAGGAAAGGACAAUACAAAACAGGGAAUAAAUUGUAAUGUACUUUGACCAUCCAUAACAUACUAUCUGCAUGCACUUAAGGCAAAUAUUUCCAUUAUUUAUCUGAAAUUGGAUUUUGAAGAACUACAUAAUGGCAUAUACGGAAACACCCAUGGUUCUGAACUCUAGCCAGGAUGUGUAUAGCAUCAGCCUAUGCUUUCGUUUUGGUUUUAGAAAGAAAGAAAGGGCAAAAAAUGUAUUCAGCAAUCCAAUUAGAAGAAGCCCACAACUGCCUUAUCUCCCAGGCCAAAAGAAAGAAAGAAAUGAAGCAAGAAAGAAAGAGAAAAAGUAGCCCCCUUGUGCAACCCAACCACUGUGAAGUUCAAUUUGUUAUCACAAUGUUCAACAUGCAGUCAUAAUCACAUUCCUUAAUUGAUUCCCUAAUACCUUUCCAUAUGUAUUGCCAUGUUAAACAUUUCAGUCACAACUAUGUGUUUUACUUCUAUUGCUCUCUGCUUAAUGAUGAAAUGAAAACAAACUUUUAACGUAGAAUCGUAGAUCAACAUAUAUACAACUAAAAAUACCCGGAAUUUGGAAUUCUAUUCGACUUCAAGAGAAAAAACUUUUUUGAUUAUUACAGGGUUAGGGAAUCUAGUCCUUGAAUAGCCUUCUGACUAAAGGAGGACCAAAUAUCACAAGAAGUGUACAUUUCUGUUAUAAUCAUACGUUGCAAGAAUUGCCAGCUAUACCUAUAAUAAGACAAUGUAAGGGAGUAAAUAUAAGCCUUAAACUUUCCAUAUCUGCAUGCAAGGUGUAUGAUACAUUUAUAUUGAUGCAAAAGUAACAACUUUAUCAAUAAUUACUAAGCCAGACCAUACCCCAAAUCUGAUAUUAUUUCACUGGUCAUAUUUUCACGUCAUACUUUUAAGAAUAAUGCUAGAGACACAAACUAUUUUACAAACUGCUGAUGUGACAUACUCCACCUCAGCAUAUUGUGUGGGACCGAAGACUACAUUGAAACAAUUUGUUGAUCAAUACGCUGAGGUGGAGUAUGUCGUAUCAGCUGUUUGUAAAAUGUUUGUAAAAUAAUUUGUAUAUGUAGCACUACUCAACUUUUAAUUAAUCAUGAUAUUCAUAUUAUGUUCAUCAUUUGGUGCAAAGUAGAAAAAGGCAUAAAAGAACCUGAAUCAGAUAAGGUUGAAAGAUAACUUACUCGUUUCAUUACAACAUUCAUUAGAUCAUCCAAGGAAUCGUAAUUAUUAGGAGCCAAACCACCCUGUAACUUUGAUUGCUCCAAGAAAUAGCCUUCAUUAGACCUCAAUUUCAUGUUCAUGGUUGAUUUCUCAGCCACGUCGUGCUGCACAAUAGUUGAAGCACCCCCAUUUGAUCUGCCAACCAGAGAGACAUCCACCCUUCGAUUGUAGCCUCCAUUAUUUUGGUCCACACUGUGGCUCUGGCUAAAGGGCACCACACCAACAUUGCCAGGAGGCAGGGAGUUUAAGGUGCUGAAAGCAUUAUUUGAGUUGUGGGUGUAAUCCUGUUUAUGUUGCCUGAAUCUUUGAUUUGCUUGGUUCACAUUUGGAACAAUAUUACCAACCAAACCACUUUGGCAUUCUCCUCUUGAAUCUUCGAGAGGUGCAGAAAUUGUAGAAUUAGAUGGAAAAUGGAUUGGGGAGUUCUGAAUAUGGGUGCUUUGUGGAGAAUUAUUGUAUAUCAUGCUACUAGGAGGCAUUUGAGCAUUACUGAAAGGUUCACUUGGUGGCAAAGGGUUUGAUGAAAACUUUGAUAACUGAAAGGCAUUCUGCCAGUUCUCAUGACAUCUACCAUCUUCCAGGAUAUUAGAAGAACCACUGGCGCCAAUGUUAAAAGAUUCUGAGUUCAAAGAAGCCAUGUUGAUAGAGGACUGAUUGAUAAAUCCUACCCCGUUUUGUAUUUGCUGUGUUUUCCCUUGUAACAUCAAAGGAUUACUUGGACCACUGGUUAGCAAGAAGUUGCUUGAGCUACCAACUGCAACCCUGGUGUCUGUAAAGGUAUUAGCAGCAGUAAAAUUUAUGUGAUCAUCAACGGGAUUGAAGUUCCCAACAUGGGCAACACUCUUACUCUGCUGGAACUGAUCAAGCUCCAAGGACGAUGGCAUUCCUUGAAAUAAAUUUGGAUUUUGGUGUGCCGGUGAAACAAUUGACUGGAAUUUCCCAAGAGCAUUUAUAGGGUUGCUUAAGUUCUGGGAAUGGCUCGGUUGGAUCACAGCAGAAGAAGUAAGGCCACGGAGGCUCACACCAGCAGGGCUAUUCAGCCUCCCAAGCAUUCCAGAAGGUGCAUAUGAUGACAGGCCAGUGUUUGGAAGCCUUCCUGAUCCAGCCAAUGUUCGAUAAUCUCCAAGUCCAUCAAGUGUGCCGAUGCGCAAAUAAGAGGCAUCUUUAACACCUAAUGCAGCAACUAUGUUAGCUUGUUGGGAUGCAGCUGAACUGAUCCUUUUCAGGUAAAGUCGGUAUUUCUGUAAAAAGAAAAUAUCGAGAACGUAAGUUAACGUGGAGAUGACAUACAACACCAACAAAUAAAAAGAAACUCAAUAAAAUUGCGACCUUUUCAAAGGUAACUAACUUAUAUGGUUUAUGGUGAUAAAUUUAAGUCAUGCCCCAACUAUUUAAAGUCCACUAAGAUCCCAUUGGGGGCCGAGAUAGCCAUGGCUAUGGGAUGAAUAACUUCAAGAUAUAAAGCCCUUACCACUUGGCUGAGGUUCACUAUUCCCAAAACAAAACUAGAGAUUUUUGUAAGGGUGAUGUUUGGGGUCUCAAAUGAUGUGUUAUCAUAACAGUAGUUGGGUAGAUCUCAUGUGAUUGGUUAUCCCAUAAAUUAUCAUUAAAAUAUUCAAUGCCAUGUCAUUUGAGAGGCAUAAUAGACCAAAAAUUUGAGACCCCUAACAUUACUCUUUCUUUAAAGCUAAUGAUUACUUUGGAAGAUAAUGUGAGGUUGAUAUCCCUCCCCCUAAGCAUUUUGGAUAAUGAUUUUACUAAUCUCAGCAAGUCAUUUUAUUUUUCCAGCCCAUAUUGCAUCAUAAAGAAUCAAGAGAAGUAAAACCAUACUUAUAUUAAUCCAUCGCCCCAAUUCAUACAGAAGGGGUCAACACACCAUCAAUUCAACUUUCUAGGGAUGUUCUCUCCACCAAUUUAAGUUCCUUACUUUUUCAAAUUAUCUGCUUAAUGGACUACAAGAAGGAGAAACAUAUAUCUACUAGCACACUCCUAUAGUAAAAAAACAAAUCGAGAAUCAUGGUGAUAAAUUAUUGUAAUAAUUUUAGUUAGGAGUGUCGGAUGGGUUGGUCAAAUUCGAAGCCGCUUGUUACUAAGCUAAACUAUCUCAGAAUGCACGAUGAAGCACUAUUAAGGAACAAAGUUGUAAAAAGCGCACUAUAAUUAACAGAGGAAGAAGGUUAGGUUUGUGCCUGGAGAUGGCUUGCCACAUUUUCCCUUGUAAGCCCUUCAACGUUCAUCAGAUCCAGAAUCCUUUUAGGAACAGCUUCUGCAUUACAAACAGGAAUGAGUAAUCAAGAGCUCAAUCGUGAGAAAAUUCAUAUUUGAUAGUAUAAGAGAGGCUUGAUCUUUUGGCACUAAAACCUCACUUUCAAGGCCCAGUUGAUUAACAGCUGCAACAAACUUCCUGUGAAGCUCUAUAGACCAAACUACCCGAGGCUUCUUUUGUGCUGAUGGGUCGUCAUCAUCAGGGUCGUUCUCUUCACCCUCUUCUUCCUCGUCCUUUCUUUUUCUAUUGAGCUUCCCAUUCUGGUCUGUAUUACCAGUCAGUGCAGGUCCUUGCCCACCUUCACUUUCCUGCUGAUCCCUAUCAUGAGAGUUCGAUUUGUUAUGGGACUUGGAAUCAACCUUCUUCCUUCGGAUUACAUGUUGCCAUAUGUUCCUGAGUUCCUCAAUUCGAACAGGUUUUACCAGAUAGUCACAAGCCCCAUGAGUGAUCCCCUUCAUUACAAGUUUGGGAUCGCUGUUUGCCGACAACACUGAGACCAUCUCAAAGUCAGAAUAUAUUUAGUGAGAAAGAAAACAUACAAAAAAUUACCAAGAAUUAAUAUAUACUGUUCAGUAGCGUAAAGUAUAUGAAACAUAUUACAGAAAUUGUCUGUAUAUUAAGCAAAGUUAAAACUCUAAAUGCUACAAAAUUCAAAUAAACAUUAAAAAAAACUCAAGUUAUCUCAUCUUAUACAGAAACAUUGACCAAAAAUGAAUACUAAAUCAAUAAUAACAAAUCAGAAAAAGAAGAACAUCACAGAUAAGACUAUAUAUCAGAGACAACUGAAGUUCUUCUUGCUUACUGAUGACAGGUAAGUCCAUUUCAAGUCCAACCAGUUCCAGCAGCUUAAAACCAUCCAUGUCAGGCAUAUGCACAUCACUAAUGAUCAGGUCAAAUCUGUUUCUGUUUUCUCUCAACAUAUUCAACGCCGUUCUUGCCUGACUUGUGGCUGUAACUGCAAAAGCGAAAGCAGUGAUGAGAAGAAAGAGAAUACUAUUAAAAAGAUUAAGCCAAUAAGCCAGAAGUAUAAAGAAUGAAGAUUGAGUGCUCCCUUGAAACAGAAACAAGAUAGCGGAGACAGGCAAAGUCACCAACAGUAUAUAUUCCAAGAAUACAGCAAAAGUUAAAGACAAUAAAAUGACAAAAUAUGUAGAAUUAAAUUUCAAAAUCUGAUUGGCUGAGCAUAAUCUGUAGUCAAGAUCGAGUCCAUGUAUAUAACAAAAUGAAAACAAAAAACUACUGAAAAUUGAGGAAUAAAAUUUAAAUCCUUCUUAAGUAAGGAUAUUAUGAAGAUAACUAAACAGUAAACACACAUUUUCUUUAUCUUUCAGGAAUUUCUUUAAAAUACUGAAAAUUGAAGAAUAAAAUUUAAAUCUGAUUGAUUGACAAAAAUUGAUGAUAAAGUACUGACAACCAUGUAAGGAAAAAGAUCAACAGACCCUUUAGUAUAUGAUGAAGUUAUGAAACUGGCCACCAAAAUUAUCCACCGAUUAUAAGAUUUCCAAAACAUUUCAGGAAAACGCAGUAAAUAGAUGAAAUUAACCCCAAUUCAGAGUAACUACUAACUAGACAUAAAAUGAGUAAUGCUAGCAAAGAAACUGGGAAACAGAGAAGAAUCUAACCAUGAUACUGGCAUUUCCGGAGCAGACCGUCCAAUAGCUUCAAACAAGUGGGGUCAUCAUCAACAGCAAGAACUCGCAUACCCUUUGGAAAAUCAUCAAAAUCACUCCCAGAACUUGCUCUAAUUUCCUCGACAGUCAUCUUUAGAACUCAAAAACAAAUACCCAAAUGUGAAAUGAACAAAGAACAGAGAUCAAAGCAAAAGAUUGGAUUUUUAACGCUAAUUGUAGGGUUUUUUUUUUCAACUUUUCAAAGAAACCCAGGAGGCAAAUGAGAGAGAAUAACAAUGUUAUUAAAGAUUUGAGAGGGAUCAAAUACAGAGGGUUUGUAAUUGUAUAGAGACAGAUAAGGACUUGUAGUAAGUGAAGCGGUACAUAUUGACAAUGAUGGUGAUGGCCAGAACAGAGUGAAUGGCUUCGACCCAACAAUUACAACCAAUCAUAUUAGUAUUUUAGUCAUCACAACUCCUCCCUCUCUCUCUCCUUUGUCCUUUUGCUUUUUUUCCUUCUUCUUGCAGUACUGGAAGCUUUUUUUUCUCUCAAUAUAAUACUCUUUAUACCACUAACUUAUAUAUCACUCCUAUAUAAUAUUGCUGUGAAUAAUAAUAGAGAUUUUGUUAAUAGCCCUUCUGGAAGAACUUUUCCUCUCUCUCUCAUAUGGAGCUAGUCAGCCAGAGGCAUGCAAAUAAGGAAGUGGAAAACAUACGGAAUGAUAAAGGGUAACAAACUUCCACCCAUAGCUAUGUACACCACAUGGACCAAUCUAGACAGUUCGUUUGAACAAAUCUGAAUACCACAUGAUCAUAAUCCAAUGAUCCUACGGUUUAGAUCGAGGAUGAGACUGUGUGACGGUACUUGGUUAUUUGACCCAAUCCUAUUCCAUCUAUGAGAGUAGUGCAAUUGAUUAAUACAUUGUCAAUACGCAGGUGUGAGGUCUAAUUUAGUUGAUAGACGCCAAGUGUUAUUAGUAGAGUAGGUUAUGGCGAAACAAGCCCCAUGAUUAUUGUCAAAUAUCCAAACAGAAUCUGUAAUAAAUUAAGUUUUAAAUACUAAUGAUACCCACAAUUCAAUUCCUUUUUUAUGGGAAAUCUCCAACAAACAAAUCCCUUUCUUUUUUUGGAUUUCCCAAAUUAUCUCAAACCUCGUACUUUAACUUGGAGAAAAUUUUGAUGCAUCUAUAAGGACAAAGCCAAAAUUGAUCACUUGUUUAAGCGAGCGGAACCACGAAAGUAGCAUAAUUUGACUUGUGACAUUUUACUAGGUACAAAUGUAGUACAAUGUUGUUGUCUCGUGUCUUCUUAAAUGAGAAAAAUGUAACCAAAAAAGGAAGGUCAGUGCCUUGUGUUAUAUACUCCACCUAUAUGGAUUCAUUGAUUACCUUGCUAUAUUAUAACAUAUUUUUUCAUAAUAAACACAUUGAUGUGGCUUUCAGUUAAUUGACAACCAAAUUGGCCCAUUACUUUUGGUUUUUCAAAUGUAGUCAUUAAAUAAUAAAUCUUGUAUUUUUGGAAGUUUUAUAUUUAUAAUCUUUAUAUUUAAUGUUUCUAAUGGGAAUAAUAUCUUUAAUUUCCAUUAAUUUAUUCACAAAUCUUGUCUAGGUUCCAUCCGCUCAAUAAGCCAAACAUAUUACAAUCAAUCUCUAUAAUUAUGCCAACUAUCACUCUGCAUUUUAAAUUGUCCAAUAUAUUUUCAAAUUAAGUAACUCAUUGACAACACUUCCAAAUUAAACAAUUGACAUCAUAAAUUUCUUUACAUUUUCCCCCAUCACUAGUUCAUCUAAUUUGUUUAAAUUCAAAUUUAUAGUCGCACUCUCCAUAAAUAAAAAUGGCUCAACUUCAAUACCAAUCAUGUCAAAGAUAUUUAGCUUUUUUUUUAAUUUGCGGUUAUGCACGCUUAAUUUAGAAAAUUGAUAUUUUCACGUGAAUUUUUUUUCACAUGAAGGUGGGACCCACUCAAUAUUCAUGUGAGAGAGAUCGUGUGAAAAUAUAAAUUCUCUUAAUUUAGUGUAUCAUUAUUAGGCCUUUGUAAGUUGUAUAGAUUUAAGUUAGGAAUAAGUUGUGUAUAGAUUUAAGUUUGGAAUAAGUUUGAUGUAAGUUUAACUUUUGUUCAUCCUUGUUAGGCAUGUCUUUUUUAGGUUACACAUCCUAUAUUUAUAUUUUACAUAAGAAAAUAGAUGGAUAUAGACAUAUUAUAUAUCCUUGUUUGAUGAAAUUGGAUAAGGCACUGGAUUUUUUUAUUUUUUUGAAAGCCUCAUUUUUUUUAGGGAAUACUCCCUCCAUUUUAAAAUAAGAGAUACAAUUUAACUUUUAAAGUUAAAUAAUGACAUAUUAAACUUUAAAAUUAAUAUAACUCAUAACAGUUUUAGAAUGAAAUGAAUUUUGUAAUUAGUUGUUUUUGUUAUGUACUAUACAAUUAUAAUACUUGUGUUAACUAAAAUUAAAUCAAUUUAAAUUUUAAUAUGUCGUUAUUUGAUCUCAAAAGUCAAAUUAUAUCUCUUAUAUUAGAACAGAGGGAAUACAAUAUAUUUUUAUAAUCAAAUACAUCAAUACAUCACAUAAAAAGAGAAAACAAGUUUCACAUAAAAAAAAAUAAGACUUAGGAAGAAGAAAUAAACUUAGAACAAAAUAAACAUGACACAAAGAGGACACAAGUUUCACAAAAAAAAAAACAGAAGUGAUUAGCAUGAAGUUUAUUUUUGAGUAAGUUUUAAUUGACUAAUAGAGUACUGACACGCAGACAAGACUUUAUGCGUGUCAGUAUUCUAUUGGUCAAUUGAUUAACUUACCAAAAAAUAAACUCCAUGAUAACCGGAUCCAACAAAAUCAAACACUUACGUCUAAGACCUAAAUGUCAGAGUAACCGAGUCUAAACUAUUAGGCUAAAACCUUAUCGACAGAAACAGUUAUGUCUCAUAAGAUAUUUUAAUGACAUCAGCAUUUUAUUAUAAAAUUAGGGCCUUCAAAAUUUAGUCGUUCAUUACUAAAAAAUAUUAGUCAUAUCAUAUCUUCUGGAUAAAUAGUUGAAUAUUUUUUAUAUUUUAAAAUUAGAGAUAUAUUUAUAAAAUAACGACUUUUAAGAAUAAUUUUGUAUUCUCAAAUAUAACCUUAGUAUUAAUUAAUAAUUCGAUCGUGGUGGUGUAAUAUUAAAAUUGAUGGUGAAAAAAUAAUGACAAAAUAAAAUUAUAUCCGUAAUUUUAGAAUGAAUUAAAAAAAUAUAUAUCUAAUUUUAUAAUAAGGAGAGUAUUAUUUAUGCACGAAAUACAAAUUAUUGUUAUUUCGGGUAAGAAAAUGCUUAAUCCAUGUGUAUGAAGAAACUAUCCAGAUGUACCAACCAAAAAAAAAUCUAGAUAUUUAAUUUUUUUAAAAUCUAAGAUAAUUUAUGUCUAGAGUGUGGAGUAUUAUAGAGUAGCAGACGGCUUAGAAUAAGGUACAGUGGUCUCACGUUGUCAGUAUCAAAAGAAGAGUAGGACCAAAAAUUCAGACUGCCAUUGUGGUACCAGAUGCCACCACGUUUCGAAUUCUGAUUGGUUCCAAAGUACAGAUUAACGGGACCACAUUAGAUUCCCCGGAAAGAUAUACAGCUUUUUCCAUGAUAAUGACACGUUAGUCGCAGGUCAUGAGUCCACUGGCCACACAACAUAACACCUGCGUAUAAAAGCUCAUCGGCGUGUGUGUGUACAUGAUCAAUCAUCUGCGGAGUCGUAUACAUUCGGUUCGUCCCUAAAUUAAACCCAGAUGAAAAUGAUAAAUCAUUUCAAAUACUAAUAUUUGUUUAUUUUCACCUUCUAGCUUAAUAUUAAUAUUCAUUUUUAUUUGGUGAAAAAAAAGGAAUUCUAUUUUUAUAAAUAGUGGUAUAAAGUGAGGUGGGUAUUAAUUGAUAUUUCUACAUGUAUUUUUGAUAUUUUUACAUGAUACAAGUAUACAGUGAGUCUCAUAUUCAUUUGAGAAGGAAUCAUGUAAAAAUAUAAAAAAUAAAAAAUAGUAAUUAUUACUUUAAAAAAACAUAAUUAAUGUCACGCCUAUGUCAUAAAAUAGGCUAGGAGAGACCAAAUUAAAUACGUCCAUUUCUUAAUUAGCCAAAAUGGAUGAAUAAGGGUUUUGUAAUAAAACACACACACACACACACACACACACACACACAUAUAUAUAUAUAUAUACAUAUACAUAUAUAUAUAUAUAUAUAUUUUGUGAGUGGUUAACCACUAUCAAUUAUCCAAAAUUAAAGAAAUGGAAAUUUGUACAUUUAUUUAAUAUUUUUAUAUGGUCCAACUUGCCUUAAUUUUUAUAUGAAAGUCUCUUCCCAAGUCUACCAUUUUUUUGUAUCAAUUUUAUAACGUGACGAAAACUUAUGAAGUUGAUAAGAUUAAGAUAAAUGCCCAUUUUAAUUUCUAGAGUAAAUUGGUUGAGGUGAGGGUAAUUUUAAAACUUAUUUAAUUAAGCAAAACAAUGCCGCGGGAUAAUCCUUCUUAUAAAUAAAAUUAUAAAAAAUUAAUNNNNNNNNNNNNNNNNNNNNNNNNNNNNNNNNNNNNNNNNNNNNNNNNNNNNNNNNNNNNNNNNNNNNNNNNNNNNNNNNNNNNNNNNNNNNNNNNNNNNAAGUUUGCUUUCUGUACCAUGUAUUUGGCGGCUCAGAAUGGGUGUUGUAUCAGGUCUGGACACUCGGACCGGACCAAAAUUCGGACUUUUUUUUGUGUUUUUUUUAAAACAACUAAAAAUAAAUAAAUAAUAUUUUAUGGAAUUAAAAUUUUUUCAUAAUACAGUGUUUUGGGUGUGAUUUGGGUACGUAUAACAAAACAUGUAUGUACAAUCUGUGCAAACUGUACCACCAUUUUUUGGUAUAGGUAUUCAAAUCAUGCCCAAAACAUUGUAUUAUGAAAAAAUUUCAGUUUCAUAAAAUAUUAAAUAUUUUUUUUUAGUUAUUUUUUUAAAAAAAAGCAAAAAAAUAAUAAUAAUUUUUGGGUCCGUUUUUGAUCAGGUCCGGAAGUCCGGACUUGAUCCGUGUUAUAUAUAUAUAUAUUGAUUGGCUGAAUGAUCGUCCGGUUCAUCGCUAAAAAGGGUGAGUAUGGUAUUCUUGUGUUACAAAGUGCAGUCCAGAAUUGGAACAAUCACCAGAAGCUCAAAUUUGUGGUCAAUUUUAGAGAUAUAGUCGAUGGGUUUUGCCUCAAAGAUGAGUCUUUAAGAAAGUUGUAAAUGAGUUUGACCACAUGAUUGGCAAUCACUCUCCCUUCCAUUAUUGAAAAUUCCUGCUAUUGACAGACAUGAUUUUUCUCCUAUCCCAAGAUACAGAUUUGUAGUUCUUGAUGGCUAUGAUAUCAGUGCCAUUGGUUGGCCCGAGGAUCAUCCAAAACACUUAAAUAGAAGAACCCAUAUAUAUUCAGAAGAAAAAAAUAAUAUAUAUAUAGUCCAGAGGGGUUGGUGGGUCUAGAGAGAAGGUUCCUCAAGUUCAAUGGUGCAGUUGGGAUGGUUAGAUUGUGUCUUACAAGAUGCAACAAAAUUAAAUCAAAAGGUGGCCUCUGGUUCCUGGAUCUUCAUCCCAAGAAGCAUUCUUGUGGAACUAUGAUGAAGUAAUAUGGACAUGAUACACCGGUACAACUGUGUGAAUGUUUGUCUGGGUGGACAUGACAUGAUCACAGAGGAGGACACUCGAUCGACUCACACGGGGUACACCAUUGUGUUCUAGAAGCAGCCCUGGACUGCCCUCCAGGCACAUAUGUAACAGCGGAAUACUGAAAAUUAAACUGCGGACAAGAGUCAUAUUAAUCGUUAAAUAUUCGGAUGGACGAUCAAGAUUUAUUAUAAGACUAGACUAUUUUUUACAACGUUAAUUAUGAAUUGGUCCCAUAUAUAUAUAUAUAUAUAUAUAUAUAUAUAGAUUGCAUGUUUAAUUUUAUGUAUAAUAAAUGUUUAGUUUAGUUGUUGUGGUUGUACUCUUAUUAAUGGAAAAAGAAGAAGAUUAUAUUUAGAAGGCAGAAUAGGUAAAGUUGUUUUAAAUGGUGUAACAGAGUGACAGGUGAGAUAUAUAUUAAUGGCCAAAAAGCUAGUAGGCAGGUAUAUUCUAUAAUACUACUAAUAAAAAGGGAGAUGGGGAUUAAGACAGUUGAGAAUGUUGUAAUAUUAAUUAAAAUGUUGCUGCUUUGAAUAUACUAGUAUUAAUUAAUCAUGGGAAGGAGUUGGUGGAAGUCAGCUGCUUUAAUUUGUUUUAGAAAAUGAAGUUAUUGUCUGUCCUUUUUCCUAAACGUCUUUGUUGGGUGGUAAGUUAAAGAAGAAAUUGGCAAGUUUUGUUGUUGAAAAGCUCGUGGUAUAUGUCAACUCCCCGAGCUUAUGCUGCUGCUGGUGCAUCAUCACCACCCAAACCCAAUGCUAAUAGAAAAUUCCAAGUUUAUUUAUAAUCAAAUCCAUAUCCAUUUGCUGUAACAACCGACCCAUGUGCAAGAAGCCAAGAACAGAGGGAGGGAGGGAGGGAGGGAGGGAGGGGACAUAUCCUUCUCAAUCCGGGAAUAACCACCACCUUUUGGGCUAUGAAUCUGCUUGUGCUACAAAUACAAUCACAAAGGGGCUUUACAUAAAUAAAUAAGCUCACAUUAUCAUUUAUUUCCCCUUUCCCUACCUCUCUAUGCUAAAUUACACAACUCAAGGAUUCAUUCUAUCACAAGUGCCAUUCUUAUGCUUGAAACCUAUAACAGGUGGAAAAACAUGACCACAUAAAUAAAUAAAUAAAUAAAUAAAAAUCAUAACAAAUAACACAGAUAUGCCUAAAACAAACUGAAUCCUACACUGCUAGAUUUUACAGAGGAAACCACGAUAUCCAUUCCGCCAAACAAAGACUUUGCUAAUUUACAUGAAAAUCCAGAUCAAGUCUGGUGAUGAUCUAAUGUUUUUGACAAUAAUAAUACACACUGCCACAGAUAAUUGCAGGAGUUUAACUCAGCAGGAUCUCUGGAUCAAACAAGAUAUCUAUAGCUUGCAACCUGAACAAAAUAAUCGAGUCCAAUAAAGCUUGGUGGCUAGGCAUGCAAUGCAGGAAGCAAGAAGCUGUACUUUUUCAAUGAAAAUAUAUCUAGCAAGAGUCCAGCUAUUUAUGUGCAUUACUCUGAAAUCUCAAGUGGUGCGAAAGAAGGAAAAUAAAUAAAUUAUCUUUUCCCGAAUCUCAAACACUUGUUAUGCUUUGACUCUGAUAAACUCGACGUCGAAGUCAUUUGUUGCUUGCUACGCUUUGUGAAGGAGUGUUUCUCCAUUGCAUUUACAAACUUCCGCAAGUGCUUUAUGUACUCCGGAUAAGUUUCAAGGUUACAAUGUCCUCCACCCUGUACCCAUAGUGGGUCAUAUUUUUCUGAGGCAAGUUCCCAUAAUCGCUUGCCAUGGGACCAGUCAACAGUGUCAUCAUUUGUUCCCUAUGAAUGAUUUAUCGAAAAAAAAAUGUAUGCAAACCAUAAGUGCGAUCAGGUUAGAGUACACUAAACUAGAGGGAAAAUGCAAUACAAAACAAGUGGUGCUUAAAAAAAAAGUGGGAGUCGGUGUAAAAAAAAGUGGAUAAGCACAGUAAGACGUGGAAUUAGACUCCCCUUUCCUAAGAAGGUUAGUUAAAAUACUAUUAGAAAUCUUUAGGAUAUAUUUAGCAGAACUCAAGCUGUUCAUGUGUAGCUUUGUUGUUCAAGAAUCUCAUGCAAAUGCAAUAUACAGAUGAUUUGCAGGUAUGGCAUGACAUUAGAGCAAAACCAUAUUUGCUUCAAAAUCUAUAGCCUCCUAAGGAGCAUUCUGUUAAUCAGGAUACCUUCCCACAGAGAGCACUAUUACUUUUAUUUGAUGAAAAGAUCCUUGAAGAACUACAGAAUAACCACCACAACCAAUAUAUAAAAGUUCACAAAUUACAGUAUCAUCACUACAGAAUCAUUGCUUAGGAGUUCGGAGUCCUAAUUUUUUUUAACUUGCAUUAACAGAAACAAGGAAUUGCUUAAAUUAUUGUAUUUGGGGGAGGGAGGGGGGGGGGGGACAAAAAACUUCUCUGCAUUUUGCCUAGGAGCUUCCAAUAGCAUAUGCAUUUUUUAUGGCCCUAUUUUAGACAAUGGAUGAACGACCAUCGCAUUAAUUAACCUCCAGAUAUUACAAUUCCUCUCUCUCAUCAUGAUGGUAACUAAGGUAUAAUGAAUAAUUCCCAAAUUAACUGAUCUUGAGAAUUUCCUAAUUCUCUCAAAAAAACAAGUCUUUUUGGACAUCAUCAGCAUUUCAAGUUUUUUAAAGGUUUUGAAUACCAAUAAAGAAAAUUUCAACAAAUUGAUAAACACCCAUCACCAGUUGAAUGAAUAAAUAAAUAUAAAACAGCCAAAAGAUAAGUUCUAUUACCUCGGGCAUGCCAGUUUUAAAACAUCUAUGUUUGUAUGUUUUUACCUCUAGCAUGCCUGUUGUAAACUUGUAAUUGACAACAAAAUGGAUGUUGUAAAUCUGUAUUAAGUUCAAUCAAAGCUUACCCUAGUUCAUGCUCAUCUAAACUUGAUAUGAUAAAUAUCCCCACCAGUAAAGUGUUGCUAGCAUACUUUGCUGAGACCAUUUUCUUAAAUUGAGGCAUUGACAGCAUGUAUUAUCUAUACCAAUAAUAGAUUGCAAUCUUAUAUACUAAAUUUCUUGUAGUACUUAAGAGAACAUCAAAUUAUUAUUUUGACCAUCUAGAAUCAAUCUUAUGUUUGUUAAUAGUCCAAACCUCUGAACUUGUCUCAGCGCAAGUUUUUUCCUUAGCCACGAGUCUACAUUUGGUUUCCAGACUGGUACUUGUUAUGCACAUCAGAUUGGACAACCAGGUUUACUAAAGCUAAAACUGCCACUACUGGAUACAACUAUAUAUUUUAUCAUCUGAAAUCCUCCCUCGUAUGAGAUCCUGUUCACAUGUGGAGUGGCAGGCGAAAAACACAAAGCACCAAAGUUCAGAAAAAUAAAUAAACUGGGGACCAAAAGCAGAUGGCAAGGCUUGCUGACAGCCAGACAUAUUAAAAUCAAUGGACCAAUGCAAAUAACCAAUUGCAUCAAACUAUUAGAACGUUAGAGGAUUGGUCCAACAAUAGCAUGAACUUCUUUGAGAAAGCCUUAUAUCAGGUACAAUGCAAAACUUUAUAAUAUAGUUUAAAAUAUGGUUAGCAAUAUUGCUAUUACUGAUAUAUUAUCAUAUGUUUGUAAAGGGUUGGAAUAAGUUUUAGCAAUAACAACUCUCAGAAUAUCAGACUUUUGGAGUCGCUCAGAAUUUCAGACUUGGUCAGUGUGAUAUGGGAAGUGAUUAUUGCUGUAAAACACAAAAUGCAAAACUAACUCAUGUUGUUAUAUGAUUAUGUUGGUCCCUUGGGGAAAGACCAACAUAUUUUGUUAUAUGAUUAUGUUGUUAGAAGCAUGAUACUGGUAUGAGAGCAGUUUCACACUCUUUAAGAGAUACUAUGCGUGGUUAGUAAGGCCCAUAGUCAUGAUAAUUUUUCUUACAGAGCAGAGGGGGCUUCAUGAGGACCCACAUGUUGUUAUCUCCCAAUAAAAUUAGGUACAGUUAUGACUAUGGCCUAUCUUUGAGGCCUCUAAAUAGAACUUUGAGUUGCAAGAUUUAUUGUUUUAAGUUUCAACCUUAGUUUCAAGGGACCAAACUCCAAUUGAUGCUCCUCUUUUUUCAUUUCUUCUAUUUUUCCUUUUCUUUUUCAUAAUAAAUUUCUCCAGAUCUGAUAAAAAGAACCUCAUUGAAGAGGUUUUCAGUGAGUAGAUGCCGAAAUGGAGUACAACAACUCCUCAUUCUAUGAUGAUUAAAUAAGAAAUGGAGAAAGCUCUCAGGCCACAAACAAUUGGUGUGGUACAGGGUUAUGUGAAGUGUUACUAGAUAAAUCACCUUAAUCAAUGUGAUAUAUAUAUAUUUUUUUUNNNNNNNNNNNNNNNNNNNNNNNNNNNNNNNNNNNNNNNNNNNNNNNNNNNNNNNNNNNNNNNNNNNNNNNNNNNNNNNNNNNNNNNNNNNNNNNNNNNNCAGAGUGAAUGAAUGAAAGAGAGGGCAUAUCUCACAUGUAUUACGAGAACUGGACAGCUAACAUUUCUUAUUUUGUCGAUAUUCUGCAAAUAUUGAAAGGAGCCUUCUCAAUACAACACCAUGUAUAUAGAACAUGGAAUAAAGGGGUCAUAAUAAGAACAAUGUCAAACUUACUUUAAAUAUGUCAAACCAGAAUGUCAACUUGACAUUGUACAGAACACGUAUUCCUGAAAGGAUAGCGCUAUGUAGAACAACACCUCUCAACCUCUGCAAACGAGAAGCCAAGUGUAGUGUGGGCCCACUCCCAACAGAUUGACCAUACAAAAUGACAUCCUCUUGCUUGAUACCAUAUUCACUCUUCAAACAAUUGUACACAGCUUCUAUGUCAUAGUAUGUGUUUAACUCAGAUGGCUAAAAAAAUUUAAGCUUUAUAAGCUUCAAUAUCAUAGUGAAAAUCAUAAACUUGAAUAAUAUAAUCAUUAUAAUUUUCCUUACCUUACCAGAGGAUGCUCCAUAUCCUGAAUAAUCAUAGCUGCAAAAGAGCGAAAUAGAUUAUGUAAGUUACAAAGACAAGGUGGUUACUUGCUAGCUAUAAGUUCAACAAAUCUUCAUCUCAAAGAGUCUGUGUAUUGUUAAAAUCAUGUCAGUUCCAAAUAAUUGAACGACUUACCCGCUUAAAAGAUAAAAACAUAGAAAAGUAGAGGGAUCUUCAUAAAGACGUCUCUAAAUUUCCAAAAUUACUAUGAACAAACAACCAAAGCGAUACACCCACACAGAUAUAUAAUUCCACAAUGGGAACAUACUAGAAAAUGGCCAUUAGAUCAGUUAAACAGAUGUAUACAACAAGAAGUCCAGAUGACAGAACAACAUGAACAAAUGAACAACUUAAUAAGUAAUAAAUUACCAACUUCUCAAAAGAAAAAAAGUAAAAAUUACAAAAUGCUUGUAAUUAAUUACAAACAACCGAAAACCUCAAAUACAAACCUUAAAAAAAUCAGCCAGCCAGCCAAACAAACAAAUACCAUCUCAAUAUGAUAAUAAAACAAAACCCCCCAUCAGAAUCAGAUAAAAUUGACACUAACAACCACAAACCAACCCCAAACUCAACAUAUCAUCAAAGCAAAAUUAACCCAUUAACACCUGGUUUCUAAAAUAAAACACAGACAUACAUGGGAAAAAAACAUGUAAUGCAAACAGAAACACCCAUUUCCAUUAAUAACAAAAGAACCCUUUCAAAAAUUCCAUAUUAUCUGAUAAAAAGUAUAUAAAAAUACCUCAUAAUAUUGACUCGGAGGUGAGCUCUGAGCUCAAUAAAGAGCUCCUGCAUUUGACCCAAGUCAGCAGCGUUGCCAUGAGAGUACAGAAGGGUGAACCUUCCAACAGGGUGCUUCCAAAAGGUAGCUACAACCUUGUUGCCCCCCUUUGUGUCAAGCAAAUGAACGUCGACGUUUUUGUCAGCGGUGAGGGCAGUGAACGAAAGCUUCCCGGUUUCAUCGUCUCUGUGAACAUCAUAUGUUGGUGGGUCUGGAGGAAAAAAAGCGAAUUUUGCAGCAACAUUUGAUGUUACAUUGCCCAUUACACAAACCCACCAAACAAAAUUCAAUUGGACAAAUUUAAUGAGGUUUUAGGCCAUGAAAGAACAUUGGGCAUGAGAUUUUCUCGGGGUUUCUGAUUCUGGGUUAUGUUUCCCGAGAGAAAUAAAUUGUGGGAUACAAAAGAGAAUACUUUAAUUAAUUAAUACUACUUAAUAUAAUUAUCCAGUUUGUUUAGUUUUGGGGGUGGUUUGGUGAUUAGGAAAAGCGAGAGGCAAUUGGCGUCAGGUGGAAGGGAGCAGAUCCGAUCUAGGCGGAGUGAGCUGAACAAAGCCCCAGAAGAAUUAAAACGACAAACAAUUAUGUAUGUACCCACCUACUAUAUUGGAGUAAUAUAGUAACUCCAUUCCUACACGAGUCACGAGGACAUCAUUAUCUUUGAAAAGUCAACUUUACCCCUAAUUUAUGAAUAUAAAAACAUUUGCAGUUUGGGAAAUAUAAAUGAAAAAUAGUGUGACAAAUAUUCAUAAAAAUAUAUUGUUAAAAUUUUAAGUAAUGAGCUUUUUUGUUAUGAAAUUUAUGAUAGAGAAAUCGUAUUUAUAUAAUAAUUGUAUUAAAAUUCACCCUACAUUUCAACUUCAAUCAAGACUUAACUAUGUAUAGCAAGUAAUUUUGAAUUAAAAUAGUAUAUAUUACAUUACACCAACAUGUGUAUAUUUAUAAAAAUUGUCAAAAAUAACCCAAUAUUUAUUUUUUGAUUAAAAAGAAAAGCCUAUCAAAAUGAUGAAAAGGGUAGUUUUGAGUCUUUUUUGAAUGCUACAGCAGUUUCAUAAAAAUUAAAAAAAAAUGUGGAAGAAACAAGAGACAUACAGAUACUACGGGCAGCAUAACAAGUGGAAAAAACGAGGAUUCUUUUUUAUAAAACCGAUGUAUAGGUAAGUAGGUGGCAACAAUUGUAAAAGCAAAAGAGAGGNNNNNNNNNNNNNNNNNNNNNNNNNNNNNNNNNNNNNNNNNNNNNNNNNNNNNNNNNNNNNNNNNNNNNNNNNNNNNNNNNNNNNNNNNNNNNNNNNNNNAAAACCGAUGUAUAUGUAGGUAGGUGGCAACAAUUGUAGUAGUAAAAGCAAAAGAGAGGAGGGAGAGGGUGAUGGACGGCUAAGAUUCGGUCAAAGGCUGCUGUGGAUCUAAACCAGUAGAAGAAGGAAGAAGAGAAAGAGAGAAUUUUUGCAGAUUUGAGGAAUCAGAAAGAGAGACAUUGUCAGAAGUCAGACAUUCCUUAUCUGCCUUUGCUCCGUCAAUGCUUUACAAAAGGUUGACCCAUUUUGGAGCUUGUGUGUGUUUAGGAAUUCGUUAUAAUAAAAUUAAUUUUGAUCGAUUGAUCAAUAUAUUAUACAAAUUAUAAAUAUAUAGACGUAAAAUUAUAAAUAUGUAAACGUAAAAUAAUUUAUUUGCAUGUCAGCACUGUAUUUAUCACAUCAUCAACUUAUCAUGAUAUCCGGAUCCUUGUGCUUACAUUCCAUUUCCCUAUUGCCAAUACUCAAAUUUUUAACCUUUUAUUUUGUUAAUUAAAUUUUACCAAACAACCAAUUAUUUUUAAGUUUAUAACAAUUAGUUACUUACAUGGAUAAAUAUUAAUGAUAAUAUUUUAAAAGAGAUACUACCAUACAUAUAUAUAUAUAUAUAUAUAUGUGGGAUGUGGGUCAUCCUAUAAUUCUAUCUAACCUAAUAUAUUGAUGUUAUAAUUUUAAUAUAAAUUUUUUUCAUUAAAUAUCAUGAGUAUUGUUAAGUAUUGUAUAGUAAACAAUGUUGUUGGAGUUGAGUACUACUACUACAUUUGCUUAUAACUUGUUUUGGUAGACAAAACAAGCUACUGAUCACAAUGUGCUCUUGGCUUAUUUAAUUUAGCUUCUGUUUGGUUUUGGUAGCGUCGUGAGUCCAACAAGUAUAUUACUCCAAUUAAGAAUCUUUCAUCACUGACUCGCACUGCUUUAAAUAUGUAAAUGUCAUAAGAAGAGCCAAAAGUUGUGGGACAAGUCGUAAUUAUUGGCACUUUAAUUUUAAUUUUCCAGAGGGCUUUAGUUUUAAAAGCAAGCAAUUAGACUGGGUCAAAAAGCCAAUGGAAUGCUUUAGGAGCUGGUGCACUAAUUAAAAGCAAAGUUUUUGAAGACGAUUAAAGAUCAAAAGACAAGCUUUUAAUAAUACUAAUAUUCACACACACACCCCCACCCCAAAGCUCAGUUCAAAGCAGCAAGUCUUAAAUUCGAACCUUUUAAUUUAACUUGUUUUAAUCAUUUGUAUAGGAGUAGUAUUUUUUAUUAUUUUUUUUUGACGAAAUCUAGGUAAUGGGUCAUCACUUUCAUGCUAAGUCCACCUUUUUAUAGCACAUAUAAUACACUUAGCAUCCUAUGGGAUCCCAUGGAAAGAGAGUUCAAACCCAACUUUAUCUAGCAAUUAAAAACAAUAAAAACCGGACAAUUAAUAUUUUCUCAAGUAAAUUUGAUAAUUUUAUAAAAUUCUCUCACAUAAAAUACACUCUAUUUAUUAUUUAAGUAAAAAUUUAUAAAACUAUCAAAUUUAUUUGUGAAAAUAUCAAUUUUCUAAAAACCAGUGACAAUAGCAUUUGUAGGAGAUGUGGAACUUGGCUUUGGUUCCUUUAGGGGUGGCUAAGAAGAAAAAAAGUUGCUCUCCCUUCCAAAAUAAUUAUUCUAAUUUCUAUUUUGGUAUGUUUCCGAAUAAACAUACUAUUUCCUUUUCAAUCAAUAAUCACUUUAAUGUCAUCGGAUGUUGAUAAUGUCAUAACAAUAAUUUUGAUAAAUAUACAUUUAGCGACACUUUUAUAUUAUUGCUCUAACAACUAAAUUAUUGCUACGAUAUUAUCAAUAAUCAACAGAUGUGGAUUCAUGUUAAAGUCAAAAUAAGUACUACUCAUGCUUCAAAGCCAGCAUCGAUUUUAAGUUUUAACGAACAUAAAAGGUCUCAAAACUAAUCCGUACCAGGUAAAAUACAUAAAUACAGCAAAAAAGUAUGGAGUAUUUUAAUUACAUAGAAUAGGGUUAAUAUCACAUGCAUAUGUUCCCUUCAAUAUACAUGACUGGGAAACAACACACUAGGUCUUCUAGACAAUUAACUACUACAUAGUAAGCUCGGAGACGCAAGGCCCACUACUGAAAAUUAUAUGCUCCUCCUCUAAUGUGGUUUUGUCUCCCAUGACCGAUACCCAAGUUUCUGCAAUCUUCUCCAAUCUUCCCUCUAAAAUCUCUACUAAAGUGAAGGCUCUUAUUGUGCCUUCUGGCUUUGGAGUUAAAAGAGGGUUUUUGCUAUCAGUUCUAUGUUCAUCAGCCAAUCUUUUGACCCUAGGAACAAUAGCCCCGUUCAAGUAUACGCUACUGUCAUCCCCAACCACAAUCAUUUUCCGAAGACCAUUUCCAUUCGCCAGCUGUUUAUGCAUGUGGCCAAACACAACAAGAGGUACAGAGAGUUUGGUGGUCUCUUUUAACUGAGAAAUGGCAUGUUCUAAAUCUGUACCAUAAAGUGCUUUUUGUGAGCCAUCAUUAUUAAGGUAUAAUUCCAUAUCAGAGUUUAACAAUAAUAAAUAGAAUGAAGCCAAAAUCAUAACACUAUUAAGUAUUCAUGUUUUUAAUCACAACAUGCCACCAAAACAUGUCAACAAUCCUUCCAAGGGUUAAACAGUCAGCAAACGACUGGUAAUAGUCUAAGUUAGUAAAAGCAAAGACUUAAAACCUCAAAGUUGUUACCUGGGUCGCCAUGGUCACCCCCUCCAUAUACCCAAUCUCUUCCACAAAUGUCAUUAAUGUUGGAACCUAGACCUGCAAAUAUUCCCACAAAGGUUAUCAUGCAGCAACUUUAGGUAUUGAAAUCCAAAUAUCACAUUGAUUUCUUCAGAGAGAUACCUGUGGGUCCAUUAUGAGCAAGGAAUAUAAUAGAGUGAUCCUCUGGUAUCCCUAAAGCAGCUUUAUAUAUUCUUUUCGCACUUUCUUCCAUGUUAUUGACUCCAAAUCUACAAGGUCAUAACUAAAGUAAGUUGUAAUAUAAGUAAAAGAAGCACAUAUUCUUGUCAAAGAAUCAUCAAUACUAUUUCGUAAUAUAUUGAUUAUACAUAUCACUCUAUUUCGUAUUACAUUUAUCAUAUCACUCUAUUUAGUAUACAUUUAUCGUGUCUGGUAGUCUGUUAAGGUUUUGCCAAAUAAAAUCCUUAUAAUGACUUAAUAAAUAGAUGAGGUCAUACUAUUACAGAGUGGUCAUAUUUAUUAAAGUGUAAACUGACGGGACAAGGAAGUCCAAACAAGAAACAAACUGCCUUUUUUGGGUUCUUGGGAACCAGAUCCUAGUAAUUAUAUUCCUUGAAAGUUGCAAAGGAAAGAGCAUAUUCUCUUUCAGAAAUCGAAACAUUCCAAACAUGAUAAGGCACAUGAGGUGAAACAAAAUUAAUAUUCACUCUAAACAGAAACCCAUAGGUAAUCUACUAACCUCGCAGACAGAAGCUUGUGCCGAAAUAACUUCCGACCACCACAAGAAAAUGGCCGUCCCCCAACAAUACUCAGCUUUAACGCAGGAAAGUCCAAACGGCGGUAGCCAACAUGCUCCUCACCAAUACUGAUCAUAACAAAAGGCAUUCACUUAUCUACCACAAGUUUUAUAUAUUACAAAAAUUCAAGCAUAACGUGUACAUGCCAAAAGAGGAUAGAACUUGAGCAAUUCUUUAUCCCCAACAAGCAAUAUUCAUGCAUAACUGGACUCUGACAGUCGAACUUGGUUUUCACUCUUGUUUCAUGACAUGGUUAGAUCUUGUAACUUUCCCCAUGUUGAUAUCCUAGUUAGCCUUGCACCAUGAUUAUGAGAGUAUCAUUUUCAAUCAGGCUAUAUGGCUUGCUUAAAUGAACCAUUUUUAAUGCUUUUGGUCACAUCAGUUUACCUUUUAGGCUUGUAAUUUAUAUGACCACCUUAAAGAAGAAUUUAAGUCGGUGAAGAACAUCUCGAGCGGCUCAAGAAAGGCCAUGCUGAGGGGGUCCCAUGUUGAUAGCCUAGAAGUACUCAAUGGAAUCAAUUUGGAAUUGAGUGGAUCAAUCAGGGUAGGACGACCUUUGGGGGGAGGGGGAGACCACAGACCCAGUUAAGAAUUUCAGAAAUUUCCCCAGUACAAUCAGUAGGACUGUAACUAUUGUCAUAUAAGAUCAAGGGGCUUGAAGACUAGCUCAAGACUAUUAGUAAGGGCAUAGUCAAAUUUUCAGACUUAUCAUCCUUUUCUCUUUAGUGGGUUUUGGUGGCAACAUAAGUGAAACUGAAUGAGUACACAACAAAAAAAAGAAAAGAAAAGAAAAUAAAUGCAAAAUAAUAACAGCGUCAAGAAUUUCAGAAAUUUCCCAAUUACAAUCAGCAGGACUGUAAUUAUUGUCAUAUAAGAUCAAGGGGGUUGAAGACUAGCUCAAGGCUAUUAGUAAGGGCAUAGUCAAAUUUUCAGAUUUAUCAUCCUUUUCUCUUUAGUGGGUUUUGGUGGCAACAUAAGUGAAACUGAAUGUGUACACAACAAAAAAAAAAGAAGAAAAGAAAAGCAAAAUAAUAACAGCAAAAGAUAAUCCAAGUCUACAUUAAAAUAUCUUGUAUAUAGAUGUUGGAGAUUAAAAGCUCACCAAUCCAGCUGAAGUUGGACAGAAUCCUUCUUCCUAAAAUUUAAAUAAAUGCCACAGUUAGAAUAAAAAUGGAUUAGAAGUUACCUUAUGUGUUUUAAUUACAAGCUCAAAAGGAUACCAGCUUUAUCAAUCAAAAGUAAACCACAGAGACACAUGCACACAAGGAGAUAGACAGAGAGAAGAGAUUAUAUAGUCUACAACUAUUGCAUUCAUGAUAGGUGUGCAAAAUAAAGGGAACAAAUAUAAAGGCAUGGAUCAUGAAACCGUUGCUCUAGUUUGCAGAUAAAACUACCAUAUAGUUAAAUAUUAUUGUUAAUGAAAAUGUUUGAAUAACGAAAUACAUUAUAUAUUUUAGAAAAGGCAAAGAUGAAAACUGCAGAAAAAAGUACUCAAGUCACAGUAUUUUCUAAAUGAUACUGUCUAAAACCACCUUAGAUACCAGUAAUUUCAAAAUUAAAAGAUCUAUAUCGUAGAUCCUGAGAUUUGUACCACCUUUUCUUGGUAAAACUAAGUUCCAUAUUUCAAAACUUGCCAUAGCAUUUAAAAUAAACAAUAUGCAUAGAAGGAUACUUAACUUUCUUCUUUACACUAUUCAUUUACUAAGAGUGCUGCAAUUGACCUCAUUUUAUUUUCCUAAGCAGAAGUUCAAGAGGGAGAGGGGAAAUAAAAAAAAUAUGCAUAUCUCUGGUUGAGGCUUGUUAGCAUAAGCAAGCCAUCCUUCAAUAGGUACGGUAAAAUGGAAAAGCAAUCUAAUAGUGGUAGCAAAAGCAUGUGACAAAGAUAUGCUAUAAUACUAGCACCCUUUUCUCUAAUUGAGUUGGCUGUAGGAAUAAAUCUAUGAUAGAUUUAUUAGGCUUUCAAGAAUAAGAUUGAGAUUCACGUGACAACGAUAUACACAGUAUCUUUCAAAGUAAACAAGUAAUAUAAACUCCAUAAAUUAGGUGUAACAAAUCAAACUAUACAUCAAAACAUUGAAUAAAAAGGUUGCUUGAGAAGAUUAGAUUUGAAUCAAAGCACAACUAGAUAGAGUUUUAAACAUCUUUAAUUAAAAAAUAUUCUACAGAAAAACUGAUAAAAUUUAUAAUCAUCGAGUGCUAAACUGAUACUCCCUACGUCCCAAAAGAAUGACUAAAGGUACAAAUAUUUUUGUCCCCAAAAGAAUGAGAUAAAGUACAUAAAGUGAGCGGUAACUAAGUUAUUUAGUGGGUCUCAUUAGUAUAAAAAUAAAAGUACUCAUCACUUUAUAUAAUCUUGUGGGGCCACUAACGAUAAAUUUGGAAAUUUUUUACUCUCUUUCCUCUACUUUUAUUUUUCUUAAUAUGUGUGCAAAUUGUACUUUGCUCAUCCUUUUGGGGACGGAGAGAGUAGAAUUUAUAAACAGAAUCAAUAAAGAACAACAACAAUCAGAAGAUGAAGCUAAGCAAAAAAUUAUCAUCCACUGUUAGACAUGUUUUCUAGCAGAGGGAUCAUCAAAGAUAAGAAACCUGACUGCAGAUAACUUCCAAGGACAUAAGAACUUCAAUGUUGAAUACAGCCACAAUAAAAUGGCAAGAGUUAUUUAAGCAUAGAACAAAAACAUAAUGAUAUAGACGAAAGCCAAAGUCAAAUUAAGAUCUACCUUGUCUGACAACAAUAACACACUCAAAGGCGAUUGCCUUUCAAAUGAUAUCAUGUAUUUAUUUUAGUAAAUCACAACAUAGUGCAACUCCCAAACUUAUUAGCAGAAUGAAUUCCACAGCCUUACACAACUAAAUUACCUGCCAGAAAAUUCUCGAGUACUCCAAGCAUCAUGGUUCCCCAAUAUAAUUGCUUUAGCAAUUGUAAGAUCAGCUACACUUCUAACAAGUUCAACAUUCUCGUUACCAAAAUCACCUGGAGAAAACCACAAAAGAAAAAGCAAAAUUAAGGGAUGAACAAAAAAGCAAAGGUUGAGAAGCUCAAAUAUCUAAGCACUAGUAAUACAAAUGUAUGGCAGGAAGAUGGAUAACUGAAAACAAGGUUGCCAACUACAUCAAGAAGAUAAAGAGAAUGAAGACAAAGGACCUGCCUGUAAAUAGCACCAAAUCCGGCUGCAUUUCCAUAUAAACUGAUAUUAGAUAUGUUUAUAAACUAAAGGGAAAUAUCGGAGCAAUAUGGCAAAAAAUACCCUAAUUAAACUAAGACUUCUCUAGAAAAUCGAUGGAAAUUUGACUAUAUACAGAAGUAAUUAGUUGACAAGGUAGAUGCAUACAUUUCAAAACACCACCAAGACAAAAGGCAAAAUUCAAGCAAAGCAACUACAAUAGAAAAUGGGAAGUGAUAUUUUCACAUGAUCCCUCUCGUAUGUAUGGACAAAGACUCAUGUAGAAAUAUCAUUUUAAGCGGAAAUAUCAGUUUCCUAGAAAAUUAGUCUGGCAAACUAUUAUUGCUUUUAUCUUUCCAUUCUUGUUGUAUGCUUUUUUAUAUAAACAGCGAGCCUAAGGCAUAGGCAAUCACUGAAUCUUCAAGUUAGGGGAAAAAAAGUGUGCAGCUGUAGAGACUGAUACAAGCUUAUACAUAUCUAAUGUGAAAAUCAAGAAGCAAUCUACCACAUGCUGCUAAACAAAUGACUAACCAACACCGGAAGGGUUUACCCAAGCUAAUGAGCUAAGGAUCUAUUCUGCAUAUUAAAUUUUGUUUUUGAGCAUGCUUACAGAUUUAUUUCUCCUUACUUGUUAAAAGAAAUUUAUAAAAAAAAAGGAAAAAAAAUACAUAGCUAACAUUGAGAAUGUAAUACCUGCAAUAAUUGAAGAGCCUUUGUAUCUUCUUGAAGAUUCCAAUCAUCAUGCUACAAAAAAAAAUCCAAUAACAAUUUGAACAAAAAAAAAGAGUAAAAAAUAAAAUAAAAUUUAGAAGAGAAUUAUUGAGUAGAGAGAGUUAAACAAAGAGCUAGUGUUUAUCUGAUGUAUAAUCAAAUAGGCAAAGAUUGAGCGGAACAAUUCCGGUGGAAGAAGUGUAAAUACAACUUGGAUUUAGUUUAGUUUCUAAAAGGAGAAAUUAAAGAGAGCUCACGACGUCUCCGACGACAGCGAUUCGAACGGAGGUGGCCAUGGAGAAUCGAUUCCUGUUGUUGUUCAGCUUUGACGAUGAAAGAGAGAGACCGGAACUGAAUAAUACACAACAGUGAGCCUGCGCGUGAAACAACGUGCUGCAGGUCAACAUAGACUUAUUCCACGCGCUUGUGCCCUAUUUUUUGGUCUUAGGAUGAUGAGUGAUAAGACUACUGAAAAUAGUACAUACUCGGAGGCUCGUACGCUACCAUUCAAUAUUUGAAAGUCCUUUUCUUUUUCUUUUUUCUGUACAUAUUUGAAAGUUAAAAUAUUGAUAAAUAACUCAUAGUUUAUUUGGGCUCAACAUCUAACUUAUUUUAAAUAAAUUAAAACAAACACGCCUAAAUAAAUUUUAAGAAUUUAUAAAUAGAUCAUAAAAUUUCAAAAUGGAACUCUUUUUCUAAAAUGAGAAUUUUGGUUGAUAUUGACAAUACUAAAUAGGACAAUUGACAAUGAUAUUCAUUGCAAGUAUAUAAUAAAACAAAAUAGUAAUGAUACAAAGUGCUAAUAUAUAAAACAAAAAUGUUAAUCAUGUCUCACAUAAAUAUUCCUUCUUUUCUUAAUAUAAGUCAUUUUAAAUUAAAAAAAAUUGAAAAUAAAAAUUUUAAAUAAACAUUAAUUACUUAGUUUUCAAUGUUAUCCAAGUAUUAUAUACAACUUUGAUUCCGUCACUAUAUCUGUUCUCUCUUUUUUCAAUAUAAUGACAAUAUAGAUAAUUGAUAUUAUAUUUAUCACAAUUUUAAAAUAAUUUAUACUCCAUUAAAGGUAGCAAUUAUCAAAGCAACAAAGGGUAAUGUUAGUUAAACCAUCCGGGCUACAAAGAAAAUUAAGAUGCAGGAGAAAUUAAGGGAGUAGUAUUUUUAUAUCUAUGCAUGCAUGGUCUAUUAAUAUGUAGAAAUAUCAAAAAUACACGUCAAAAUAUCAGUUACAAAAAAAAUAAGGCCUAAUUUUCAAGUAUGUGGAAUCUAAUAAACCAAAUUAAAAUGGAUCAAUCUGUCUCAGUUAAUUUCAAGCUGAGGGACAAAUAAUGUUCAUGGACUGGAGUUCCUGGAAUAAAAGCUUGCAUGCAUACGGCAUCAUCAUGUUUUCAACAUUUUUCCCAACCUUACACGUAGAACAUAUGGUAAUGCCAAUUUUCAGCUUGUAGUGAUCAUAUUAUCCCAGCAACCCGCAUUUACUGCAAACCCGAACCUCAAAAAGGAUCACCUGCAAUCAAACACUCGCACUCCAUUUCUCCCACCCGCAGUACUCCAUUUAAAGCCCUCCCUGCAGUAGGUUGGUUAGUGAGCUGCACCCGACGGCCAUGGCCUCGAGGAUGCAUUUUAUCUACCACCAUGUACUUCAACUUCUGGUAAUAAAUUGGUCCCAUGAAAAUAUAUUCCCGUAGUGGCCUACCAGCAAUGCCUGAAUAAAGGAAGUCCUUGCCAUUGUAACUAAACCCAUGCUUCACAAGGGUUUCACUUACGGUCAGCAUGGCCACUUGAUUCCCCAAAAGCACUGCCAUAAUGAAAACUACCGCUUGAAACACCAGCUUUACUCCCAAGAAGCUCUAUCAUUUUCCCAACAGUCAUCCGACUGGGGAAACCGUGAGGGUUCAUGAUCAAAUAAGGGCAAAUGCCACUUUCCGAGAAAGGAAAAUCUUCCUGUUACAAACACCUUUUUGGCCAUGCCUGCUGCUAAAUUUGCGACGAGUUUGGCGAAUCAUGAGUUUGACACGUAAGUUGUUUUCGUCACCAGAGAAAAGAGUUACUUUAUCCACAAUACCCGUCUCCUCUAGAGCAUUGUGUGUUUGUCUACGAGGCAUAUAUGCAAUGUCUCCCACUUGCCUAGAUAAAUGUAAUCUUGUAACUAUCGGAGACUCCUUAAUUACAUAUAUAUAUAUAUAUAUAUAUAUAUAUAUAUAUAUAUAUAUUUCAUCUGGCCUAAUUAUUUCUCUUGGAGAAGCAAUCCCAUCAUCAUCCAAAAUCUGCAUAUUCACCUUUUCUCUGGGGUACAACUUGUCUAUCUGAUACACUAUCCUUUGUGUAUGAUAUUUUAAUCUCUCGUCUCUGACAGACAACAGACAAUCUUUUCAUUACAAUACAACCGCCAACGAUCUAGAGAUGCUUUGAUCAGAACUAUUGCAUCCUCAAUGUCAUAGCCACUAUAACUCAUAACUGCAACAGUUGCAUUCUGCCCUGCUCCAAGUUUAUCGUAUCCUAUCAAUUCAAUUGUUCUAGUUAGUUGUCAAUAAUGGCUGCUGUAGGUACACUAAAAGAUAGAUUAAUGAAUCCAUCUGACAUAAUUGGUUAUAUGAGAUAUUAUCCAUAGCUUGCUUCCCCAUCGCACACUGAUAGGUAUUUAUGGGUGACUGAUUGUGAUGAGGAAAAGGAAUUAAGCCUGCACAAACGCCUAAGAUGGUGAAAGGCUCAAUCUCCAUAUGAGUUCUCUAUUUUCCCCUUGGCUGUAGCCUUUGUUGUAGUGUCAUCUCCUUCAUAUAAUGCAAUCAAAGCGUUGUUCUCCUGGUUAACAUCAAGAUACUCUAUCAACCCCUCGCGUAUAAAACUGUUAAAAGUGCGAAAUCCAUCCUUCAACUCCUUCAUAUGGUGUUCCUUGAUCCUUGAUACACCCCUAUCAGCAAUUACAAGUGGAUGUCGGCCACCAUCUGAAGAAAUAUAAACACAACGAUAUUUCUCGUUUACAAAAAUGCACAAACUCAUCAAUCUUUCCUGAUCUCCGGAGCUUCCUCAUUGCAUUGGCAAAAUCGCGUGGCCUCCUAUGCUUGCCAAGAAUCGACCAAUUCAAUAUAAUCAGAAACGCAUUUGGCAUAUGAAGCUCUUCUCCAGAGAGAAGCUCCAAGGGUAAAUUAAGCAUUCCCACUGGCUAGGCUGCAACGCUCCAGGCCCGCUAACUUUCCUCAACUUUUCAAAUUGUGGGAAAAUCUUUGUCAUGAUACUCAAGGAUGCUAUAAAGGAUUGUCUAUUGACAACCGCCGUGAUGCCUCUCCGGUGCAUCCUAAACGUGUUGAGAUUCUAGUUGUCGGUAGAAAGGCUCCACUCUAAGCCAGAGGUAAUAGAUCUCAUAUCUAUACUUAUAGAAAGAUCAACAGGCUUGCUAUAAUUCGCCAGUUUUUCAUCAAAUUUCUUCCUGGUAUCAUCAUUCAUUGUCUUGAACAAAUCCUCAAAGAGUAUAGAUAAUAAUUGGCCAGAAGACUCCAGCUGCUUGUUCCCGACAUAAUCCUUGUCAUCCAUUUCAUCCUUGUUCAAAAUUGCUUCCAUCAUUCGUCUCAACAUGACAGCCACAUAUUGCACCUCAAAGCUAUUCAGGCCUAAACUUUUAUCAAUUUUUUUUAGAUUAUUGAGCUUUGUGAGCUUAAGGGGGAGACAUUGAAGAAGGCACAUGAAAUCAUUGAUUAUUUUGCAAAUCGAGCCCUUCGUUCCUUAGGUAUUGCACGACAGAUGCCAUAGCCAUGGGAGUUUGUAGGCCUACCGCGUUUAUUUGACCCUCCAAGGCAAGAUAGUGUUGAGACCAUCCGUAAAAUUCUUGAUCUCGGUGUCAAUGUUAAGAUGAUUACUGGUGAUCAACUUGCCAUUGGCAAAGAGACUGGCCGUAGGCUUGGCACGGGCACCAAUAUGUACCCCUCUUCUUCCCUUCUCGGCCAGAGCAAAAACGAGUCCAUUGCUUCCAUUCCCAUUGAUGAGCUCAUUGAGGAGGCUGAUGGCUUUGCUGGAGUCAUCCCUAGUAAGCCUAUAUUACAUAUAAUCAAAGAUCAUAUGGGUUUUGGUUGUAAAUUUAACUUUAGGCAAUAUUGUUUUGAUAAUUUUUAACACUAAUAUGGGUUAUUGUAGAGCACAAAUAUGAGAUUGUGAAGAAGCUGCAAGAGAGGAAACACAUUUGUGAUAUGACUGGAGAUGGUGUGAAUGAUGCACCAGAACUUAAGAGAGUUGACAUUGGUAUUGCAGUUGCAGUUGCAACUGACGCAACCAGAGUAACAUCUGACACCGUUUUAACCGAGCCUGACCUUAGUGUGAUUGUGAGUGCGCUGUUGACUAGCAGAGCCAUCUUCCAAAGAAUGAAGAAUUACACCAUCUAUGUUGUUUCUAUUACAAUCCCUAUUGUCAUGGGAUUCAUGCUCAUUGCUCUCAUUUGGAUCUAUCCAUUCAUGGUCCUGAUCAUUGCCAUCUUGAAUGAUGGACCGAUCAUGACCAUCUCUAAGGACAGGGUGAAACCAUCUUUAGUGCCCGACUCAUGGAAGCUUAAAGAAAUCUUUGUCAUUGACGUUGUUCUUGGCACAUAUCUUGUUGUUGUGACAGUAGUAUUUUUCUACCAAGUUGCUGAAACUGACUUCUUUACAGUAAGUUUUGCUACUUCUUGUAAUGGAACUAUUGUUUGACCUUAAAAUUCAUUAUACACACACACACACACACACACUUAGGGGUCUCUCCACUUACUGCCAAAAUGGUAUCUUAGUAGGGUCUUCUCUUAUUCAUGUAGCCUAACGACCAUUUGAUUUUAAGUUGGAUGUUUCAACAGGAAUAAUGAUUUAGUAGAUAAAAUUGGAGACUAAUAAUCUUUUGAUACUACAAAAUGCUUUUGGGGUUAGGUCAAUCAAGGAUAGCCCAGAUGAACUUACUGGCAGCUCUUUAACUUCAAGUCAGCAUUGUAAGCCAAACACUCAUCUUUGUGACAAGGACUCAUAGCUGGUCAUAAAUUGAACGCUCUGGUAUCUUGCUUGUCACUGCCUUCUUAAAAGCCCAGUUGUUUGUUACGCUCAUUGUUGUGUAUGCAAGCUGGAGCUUUGCUAGAAUCCAAGGUGUUGGAUGGGGAUGAGCUGGAGCAAUCUGGAUAUUCAGCAAUGUUACCUACUUCCCUCUUGAUGUAUUCAAGUUCAUCACCUGCUAUGGACUGAGUGGUCAUGCUUGGGAUUCCAUGAUCCAGAACAAGGAAAUUACAAGAAGCAAAAAUGGCACCAAAAAAUGAAA
Molecule: long non-coding RNA, 66782 nt
Filed under: Panax ginseng (ginseng)
Lineage: Eukaryota; Viridiplantae; Streptophyta; Magnoliopsida; Apiales; Araliaceae
Description: long non-coding RNA (PGIN_LNC012937)
Rfam family: MIR6140 microRNA precursor family (bases 37403-37556)
Source: RNAcentral